UAUCCAGGGACAGCGCCAUUAUAAACAAUAUAUUCUACUUAUUGAUGGUAACAAUACUAUAUCUACUAAAGUAACACUGCUGUUUAUCAGGAAAAGACAAACUUUACUUUUUCAAAGCAACGUCUGGGGCAAGGAAGUAAAACUAGAAAAGCUUCGACCCUGGGAACUAGCUGCCAAUGAAGCAUCAAAGAUGACGAGAAAAUCUACUGAGAUGACGCAAACAAGCCAAAAGCUGGAUUGAUAGUGGUAAAACCUCCGUCCACUGCAAGAUUGUGCCCGCUCACAUACUUGGACUCGUCAGAACCCAGAUACAGUGCAGCUUCGGCCACAUCUUCUUUCUGAAGAAAAACCCCUUUCAGGUUAGAAUAAACACGAGGGCGUUCAUCUCCAUCCAGCUUGAAGAAAUUCAUAGCCGACCGUGUUGCAAUGAAGUAGGAAGAUAAGCAGUUCACUCGAAUCCCAAACCUCCCGAGCUCUGCUGCCACGUUCUUGGUGAGUCCUAAAAUGGCAUGCUUUGAACUUGUGUAUGCAUGAGAAGCAACCCCACCGACACUAGAUGAAACGCUACCCAGUGAAAUUAUGCUGCCUUUUCUUGCAGGAAUCAUUACUCGAGCCGCAUGCUUAGUUCCCAAGAAAACGCCUGUCAAGUUAACGCUAAUGACACGCUCAAAAUCAGCCACAUUAUUCUCUAUGAUGCUUGGUUUGGCGUCGUCAAUGACGGCAGCAUUGUUUACCAUUAUAUCAAGCUUUCCAUGUAAGGAAAUUGCGGUGUUAACUGCAAUUUCGACAUCAGAUUCUUUGACUAUGUCGCAAAGCACGAAGGAUGCAAGUGCAAGACCAAUAUCUUUGCAUACGGAUUGGCCUAAUUCAUCUUGAAUGUCAGCAAUGAUAACUUUAGCUCCGUGCUCGCAAAAGAGUCUUGCAAUGCACUCACCAAUGCCGCUAGCACCUCCUGUGAUCAAUGCCACCUUGCCUUCUAGCCUAAGAACAAUUCUCAAUAAAAAUAAAAAACCAUGUAAUUAUCAAUAAAACUAGCAUUAUUAAUUAAAAUUUUUAAAAAACUAACAUUAUUAAUACAAAUAAGUUACAAUUUUAUGUGUUAAGGAAAUACUUAAAUAUUGAAUUAAUAGUUAAAACUUGUAAGUUCGACUCAAAAACAUUGGAUUGAGAGUGAGAUGUUCUAUGUGUGGUGUUGAAUCUGACUACUGCAUGACCUCCCAGGCUUUCCUAUGGAUUUAUUUUAUUUCUCACUUGAAAAGCUGUGCAUGAUUUGGUGUCAAGCAUGCUAUGCUUCUGGUGACUCUUCGGUUGUUUCUGUGUCGCAUGUUUGUUCUGUUCCUGUGACUCGCGGGUUGAUGCUGUGUUGCAUACUUGUGGUGGUGACGUUGCCUUAUACUUCCUGAUGAUAUUGUGCUAUUCUGUGUAAAUAUUUUCCGGUGUAAGACUCUGUUUUCCAUUAGGCGCAUUUGUACGGACAGAACCUCGUUGGGUUACUGUCUGUUUGGUCUCUUAGGCCACACCCUUGGCUUUUGCCAAAGUAUCGUAUCAAUUUUGUGAUAAUAAAAUAUCAGAUUUGAUUAAAAAAUAAUAUAAAAUAUAUUUUAGCCUUGGAAAGAAAAAUAAGGGUUCAGAUCCUAUAUAUUAUUUUUUGUUAUUAAUGUUUAAUAUAUUCUUUAUUGAUGACAUUCGUGUUGUUGAUAAAUAAAUAGAAAUUUAUGAACUAUUUGAACAAGUUAAUGAUUAUUAUAAGUUUACUGAAUAAUAUUAUUAAUAAAAAAAAUAGAUAAAGCGAAUAUGAUGGUUGAUACAAUAACAAAGAUGCCUCCUUUUAACUAAAACUCAAUAUAGAUAUGUAAAAAAUAACAAUAAAUAUGGGAACACACAUUGAUUGAUCAGUAAUAUACAUGAGCUAAUGAAAUAUAUAUACCUUCUUGCAGCAGGUGGAAGUAGGGAAGCACAUGCCAUUUUGAUCUUCUGGCUGGAGAUUUGUUAAUCUCCUUAGAUUUCUAGGCAAAUUAUAUUGUAUGUCCUCCAUCUCCAGAGAGAAGCCCAACAUCCUUUUAUAUAGAGAUAGUUAACCGUGUAACAGAUACAAAGUUGAUGGAAUGCAUCCAACAUAGAGUUUUUUAAUUAAUUACCAACGCUUAUCCUAAAUCAAAAUUUUAUAUUAAUUACUUGCAGCAUUGACUUUAAAUUAAAAAAAAAAAUCCUACGUCCAGCAUUUUCAAAAUUGGUGGGCAACUUAAUUAGCGGUGUGUAAAUAUUUACUUUUUGUGACUUGUGCUAAUGUGAAAAGUGAAAUGAUUUGUGGACCUAUGCAUGCAUACGAACCUGCAUAGCAUCAGCUAAAGGUGCAGAGAGGUUGUUGGACAAUUAGGGCAACAAAUCUAAUCAAGGGAGCCCAGUCAUUUGUAAUGUGAUUCAAGCUAAUUUUGUCAUUAUCUUUUAUCAAUAUAUGUGGCAUGUGAUAAGAGUAGUAGACAAAAUGAAGAAAAUUUUUAAAGAUAUAGCUUGUAAUUGAUUUUUCGUGUAGGAAAUCUUUAUUUUGAUGUGAUAAGAGUCGUAGACAAAACGAAAAAAUUUUUCAAAGAUAUAGCUUGCGUUUGAUUUUUCGUAUAGAGAAAUUUUAUUUUGAUAUCAUAAGAGUCGUAGACAAAAUGAAGAAAAUUUUCAAAGAUAUACUUGCAUUUGAUUUUUCGUAUAAGGAAUCUUUAUUUUGAUGUGAUAAGAGUCGUAGACAAAAUGAAAUUUUUUUUUAAAAAAUAUAGCGAGAUAUGAUAUAUGAAAGAUAAUAUGAUUUUAUGAUUGUGUUUAACACGUAAAUAACCAAAAGAAAAAUAAAAUAAUUUAAGAGAAUGAAAUAAAUAAUUAAGUUUUACUAUAAACAAGCUUUAAUUAUUAAGAAAAGACAUUUACCUAAUUAAUUAUUAAGUCAUGUUAUAAACAGGAAUGAUGUGUGGAACUAUAUAUGCAUACGAACCUGCAUAGCAUCAGCUAAAGGUGCAGACAGGCUGUUUGACAAUUAGGGCAACAAAUGAAGAAAAUUUUUAAAGAUAUAGCUUUAUAUGUGAUUUUUAUAUAGAGAAUUUUUAUUUUGAUGUGAUAAGAGUGAUUAGAUAAAAUGAAGAAAAUUUUUAAAGACAUAGUGAAAUAUGUUAUUUGAAAGAUAAUAUAGUUUUAUGAUUAUGUUUAACACGUUGACAAAAGAAAAGGAAUGAUAUAAUUAAAGAGGACGAAAUAAACAAUUAAAUUUUACUAUAAACAAGCUUUAAUUAUUAAAAAAAGACAUUUACCUAAUUAAUUAUUAAGUCAUGUUUUUUUCUUUUUGAAAAUUUUCAACUGAAACUAAUAGUUUUUAUAAAUUGCACCAUUCAAAUUCACACUGCAAAAGAACAAAUUUACUGAACUGGAAAAACAAAAAUGGAAAAAUUUCCUUCACAUUUAUCUGAUCUGGACCAUGCCAACGGUGACCAGCUUUUGAAUCUUGUUCAUCACCAUAGGAUUCUUCACGUGCUCCUGUGCCGCAUGUGAGUUUCUUUCUCAUCAUUGUACAUGGCAUCUAAUCAUUUGUACCAACAUUGAUGGUAUUAUGAUAAAAAUAAGAGUAAAAUCUUAAAUUUUAAUCAAAAUUUUACGUAAAUUCAUUAUUUUUUAAAAUAAAUUAUAAAAUUUAAAAAUACAAAUCACAUUAACAAAAAAUAUAAAAAAUUAAAAUUUUUUUUCUUUCAAACAAUGUGGUUGGCUGGUGGUUUUCCUAUUCUUCAGUUUACCACCCCACAGCAAAUGCUCUCUUCCCUUGACCUAAGAGAAAUUUAUUUUUUGUAAAAAAAAUUUAAAAAUUUAAUUUACAUAAUAUUAAUUUUUUAAAUUAAUAAAGAGUAAAAUUAUUUUUUUAAUAUUACUAUUUCAUCAAAUUGACAAAACACUAAUGUUUAACUAACAGUUAGACUUAUGUGUCUAGCAGAAAAUUUUUUUGAAACGGAUAAUUUAUUUUAAAAAUUAAUAAAUUCAUGUAAAAUUAUGAUAAUAAUUUAAAAAAAUUUAAAUAUUUAAUUUAAUUUUUUAAAAACAAACAAAUAAAAUGUAAAUGGUGAAGUGAUUGCUUUGAUUUUAAGAUUCGUUUCUCAUCCAUGUACAUCGCAUUCAAUCAUUCACACCAGCGUUAAUUCUCUCUGUUUAUUCUUUUACCUCUCUUUUCUCUUUUGUCUUGCCUGAUAAUUCUUCUCAACCCACAUCCGCCACGAUUUUUUGUUAGAUGUUUCUUUAGGCUCGUGUGGUAUGUAGAGCAGAUUGUGGCUUUGUACAGAUGCCUCUCCUUUUGGAUUUUUUGUUUACCUCACCUGUAGCUGGUCUCGGUGUAGGUUCAGUGGAGAUUUGUGGUAAUUUUUGUUAAGCACUUCUCCCUUUACUCUUUAUGAUAUAUAUAUAUAAUAUAUAUAUGACUUUUCAAAAAAAAAACAAAUAAAACAAAUGUGGAUACUGUUUGGUUAAAAAAGAAACAAAAAAAUAAAAUGUGUAUGCUGAGUUUUCUCUUUCUUAUCCGAAAUGGGUUAAUUUAGUUUAGUUUUUUUCCUUCUAUCUUUUAAAAUCUUAUAAUUACGUGGGUUGGGUUGGUUGGAGGGAUCUUGUAACGACCCAAGUCCAACUACUGGUUUAGUAAUUUUUUAAACUUAAACCACGUGGUCUUCAAAAAUUUCAAGUUGCUAGUAGUCGUUGACUUGGAUUGUUAUAUAAGUCUUAACAAUUAUAUUCACAUCAGAUGUGGGAUGUUGGGCAUCACAAUCCCAGCCACACAUCACAUUCACAGAACCAAGAAGUUUAUAUCGGACUGGCGUAGGCUCUGAUACCAUUUGUAACAACCCAAGUCCAACCACUGGUCCAGCAACUUUUUGGGCCUAAACCACGUGACCUUCAAAAGUUUAAGCUCAAGUUGAUAGUAGUGGUGGGCUUGGAUUGUUAUAUAAGUAUUAACAAUCAUAUUCACAUCAGAUGUAGGAUGUUGGGUAUUACAAUCNAAGAAACAAAGAAAUAAAAUGUGUGUGCUGGAGUUUUCUCCUUCUUAUUCUUAAUGGGUUAAUUUGGUUUAGUUUUUUUUAUUCUAUCUUUUAAAAUUUUAUAUUACGUGGGUUGGUCGGAGGGAUCUAUUAAGAUAAUUAGACAAACUAUUUAGUUAGAGUUUUUUUAUAUAUAAUAUUUAAAAAAACUAUAAACUAUUCAAAAAAAUUUAAAUAAGUAUUUAUAUUUUUAUUACAUUUUAAUGAAAUAUUAUUUUUUAUUUUUGAGUCAAAUAAAUUUUAUAAUUUUAUUUUGAAUCAAAUAAAAUCUUUGUAUUUUUUUUUGAAUUAAACAAGCUCUUAAGACUAAUUAUUGAUUUAGCGAAAAUAUCAUUUAUCAUUUUAUAUCGCGUGGUGCUUAAGUAAUAGACUAAUGUAUCAUAAUUGAUGAUUAUAUAACAUGUCAAUAUAUCAUAAUUGAUUAUAAAGUAAUAUAUUAAUUUACUAUGAUAAUAUAAUCGUAUGACAUAUUAUUGAAAGUUAUUUUUGAAAUAAGUUUAUGAGGUUGGUUAUUUUUUAUAAUUUUUUCACAAAUAAUUGUUUCAAAUAAUAUUAGUAAUGCAUUCAAAUAUUUGAUUCAAUAAAUAAUGUGUGUGUAUAUACAUAUAUUAAAAAAAUUAUAUUCAAAUUCCAUUUCCAAAAAAAAAAUUAAUAUCCUUUUUAAUAUUUUCCUUUAAUUGGACUUGACAACGAAGAGACAAAGGAAGCCAUAGACUUGGUACUUCAAAAUUCACGACAACAAAGUAGGCAACAACAAAAUCGUGACUAGCACAUCCCACUUGCAGAGAUGACGUGGCAAAUUAAAAUAUUAUAACCAAAUUAAUCAACGAUUAAUAUUUUGGGCUUGGGAAUCUAUUCUCAAGCUUUGAGUACUCUAUAUAUAUGGAAUACCUGCUUGAUCUGUUGUCUACCCUUUCUAAGUUGGAAAUUAGAACACAAAAAAUCAUCAUGGCCCUCGCUUUCACCUUGGAAAGAGAGCACAAUCAGGUUACAAUAUGCUUGUUCUUUUUCCUUUCUCACAUUUUCUUUCUAUUUAUCUAUGAUUUUUAAUUAGCCUUUUAACAUCAUUUCUUUUCGGUGGUGCCAUAAACCCUUUUAAAAAUGGGCAAUAAACUAAUAACUGACGAGCUAAGUUUGUAUCCUUAACAUUAAAUAUCCUCCAAUAUGUUUUAUUUCUUAUGAUUCUUCUAAAUUAAAUGGUUAAUAAAUUAAGUAAACUCAAACAUUUAGUUUAUUAAUUAGUACAUGAUUUCUCUGUCUAAAGAGUUGAGAGUUUGAAUCCCCCUUCUCCAUGUAUAUAUUUUCAAACUGGUUUAACGACUUCAAAAUUCAACAAAUUUCAGUAUUGCUAUCUGCAGGUACUAUUCGAGGGAGAUUCAUCAGCCAAGAAAGUGAUUUUGAACAGACCAAAGAAGCUAAAUGUUCUCAGUUAUGAAAUGGUAAGUUCGACUUAAUUACUUAUUAUAUAUAAUAUCCACUAAAUUUUUAUACUAUUCAUUUGAUAAAAAUAUCAAAAUGUUAAAAAAUCUAAAUCAGCAUUAAACUUUUUGUUCUUUUUUACAUGCAAUUUCAAAGUAAAAUGAAACUUAUAUAUGCUUGGCAUUAUUGUUGAACUCUAAUUUGCAGAUCUGUCAAAUGCUAACCAACUUCCAAGCAUAUGAGCAAGAUUCUACAACAAAUUUCGUGAUUUUGAAGGUAGUUAAUCGUCAGAAUCCAAAAACAUAUGAAAAAUGAUCUUUUAAUUUGUUUUAGACUAGUCAAUGGGUUGCUUCACUUUCCAGGAAUCCAAGCCAUUCUUUCUUUUAUAUGGAUAGAUUAAUAUUUUUCUCUCUUAACCAAAUAUAAAUGGUACUAAGAUCAGUAGACUGUACAAUCUUUAUUAUCUCAGAAGUUUGAGAUAAACAGGCAUGAAAAUAAAGCAAGACACAUCUUUAUAAAUUUACAAUCAACUUUAGCAAGAGAUAGUUUUUACUUUCCCUUACCACCAAGUAUAAAACUUUUCGAAUCUAUCAAUGUCAAACUUUGUUAAGAAAUCUGCAAAAUAAUUUGUUUCUUUGAGAGUAUGUAAAAAACAACCUUCCUUAGGAUCUUCUUUAACCUAUCUGUUUCACUAAAAAUUCUUCAUUUCUGUCAAGGUCUUAAGUUCAAAUUGCACACCUAGGAUGUAGCUACCAUAAAAUUCAAACUCUACCAUAAGAGAUUUCUUAUCCAAACCAAAAGAAAAAUAUGAAAAGCAGUUUGAUUGCCACCAAUUCAACAUAAUUCUAUUCUUGCUCUCUUAAUGAGCCAAAAAAGAUAUUAUUGAACCAAAAGAAUCUCUCAAAACCUCUCCACCACCCACAUCCGCAUCAAAUUGGAGCUCUUUAGGAGGAAUCCAAGAAAUACCUCUUUGAGAUUCAACAUUUUUACAAAUAGUAAAAAAAGUCCAUAGAUUUGACCACCCCCAAACUCAUCAAUAGCUCUAUUUCUUUCUAUAGUUUUGAUUCAAAACAUAAAUCUAAUUUUAUCAAGAAAACUAUAUCUUAUCUAUCCAACCAUUUCCUAUUAAACACUAGGUCAUUUCUUGCUAUUCAUAAAAAUCAUAAAGUAGCUCCACACAUGUUAAAUCAUUUCUUUUUCAAAAUAUUACCGAUCAUUAUAUCUUCACAUAAUUGGAGAAAAAUUUUCAAUAAACUUUACGAUUAUUCAAUGUAAUCCCCGUCACUUUAAAUCAGAACCACAUAUAAUUCACAAAUAAUAGUAAGAAAUUAGAAAAUGGCAACUAUCAUCAUCGUGACCACAGUACAUGCAUCAACAAUUAAUAUUUUCAAAUUGAAAAACUUUGACCAUCAAAAAGCUUUUAAUAGGAAUGCAAUUAAAAAUAGGAAAGUUUGUACUUUUUGGGUAUAAUAUAUUUUCAAAUUGAGGAAAAUCAAGGCCUUCUAAAUCUAAAGCACGGGUUGUGUUCCCAGGACAGCUGUGGCUUUCUUCACUGAAAAAGGAACCUUUGUUAUCCAAAACUCUCAAACUAGUUUAUCGCUCUUCCUCGCUAUCCAAAUGGAUUUGGUCGAGCAUCCGCAGCAAAUCCUCCAAAGAGUCUAUUUCUCGCUCAAAUAGCCUUCUUUUAAAGAUCAAGUUCCAUUAAUGAACAGCAUUGCUCGUUGCUUUGGCCAAUCUCCUACUCCAUGGUUAAAAGGAAAAACCUUCUAUCAAAGGAAAAUCCAACACCCACUUGUCCAACCAAAAACCACACCAUGAUACCAUUACCUACUACCCAUAUCAACACUCAUUCCUACCAGCCAACUUAUCAACACCAUCAAUACUUGGUAAACUUACAAUGUUUCUCUAAAUAUUCGACAUUCUUUCCUUAUGAUUGAUUAAUAACGAUCAUUGUAAACAACUUUCACCAUAUUUUUCACUGAGAAAUUUUCUCUAUGAAGCCUUUUGGUCCACUUUAUACCACUACCACUUCAUUAAUAAAGUAAUAUUCUACACAUCAUAGUCCAUUUCACCUACGCUAAUUAAUUUCCUUUCAUUCUUAUAUUAAUAAAGCCAUAUUAAUAUUCAUGGAUACAUUAAUAUUAUUACUACUGACCAAAAGUUGUUCUUGCAGAGCAAUGGAAGAGCAUUUUGCGCCGGAGGCGAUGUUGUGGCCGUACUUGGUGCUCUGAUAAUAGGUUAGUUUGUUCCUUAUUCGUAAUUUUUUUCUACUUUUGGUGCACUUUAAUCAUUUUCUAUGUUAAUAUAUUGAGCUAGUGGCUGCUUUGGCCUUUGGCUAAUAAAACAACAUAUUGUUUAUUAAACAGAAUUAAAUCUAUAAUUAUAGAUUUUUACUUCCUUAUUUUUAUUCUCUUUUUAACUUAUUUAUAAUAAAUAUAUUCAUAUUAUCACUUAUGUCUUGUUCAUACAUAAUUUAAGAUCCUAGAUGAUCAAUGAAUGAUCAGGUCAUUGGAGUUUCGGAGCAAAUUUUUACCGAAAGCAAUAUGCUUUAGAUUACUUACUCGCAACAUAUGAGAAGCCCUUGGUAAGUUGGAUUUAGGACUACUCUUUUAAUUAUUACAUAAUCCCUCUAACUCUUCUAAUUAAUUCUUUUAAUUCGGAUUACUGAAGAUUUCCCUUAUCAACGGUGUUGUUAUGGGAGGUGGUGCUGGCUUAUCUAUGCAUGCAAAGUUUAGAAUUGUUACGGAGAAUGCUGUAAGUUUUCUUCUUUUUGUUUUAUAUGUAUGUAUAUUGAACUAGUUUGAGAAAGAAAUAAAUUAACAUUAAUUUAUGUAAAUCCCAACUUUGAACAGGUGUUUGCCAUGCCGGAAGCGUCAAUAGGCCUUUUCCCCGAUGUUGGAGCGUCCUAUUUUCUUUCUAGACUUCCAGGCUAUUUCGGUAAUAGAUUCUUUCCCGACCCGAACACAUAACUGAAUAAAGCUCUAAGAAUGUAACAAAUUAAUUUGGAAAACUCUUCAGAUGGGCAUGAACCUAAUACAGGAGAAAUAUUAAAAUUUUUGUUCAAUUGAUGUCAAAUAUUGAAGGAGAAUAUUUGGGACUAACUGGAGCAAGGUUGGAUGGAAUGGAAAUGCUUGCAUGUGGACUUGCAACUCAUUUCGUUUUGUCCAAGGUAAAUUUUAUUGAACGGAUUUACAUUUUCUUUUCGCAAUGGUAUGCAUAAAAUUUUCAUAAAUAAAAAACAUGAUAUGUUUUACAUGUGUUAGGACCUAGUUUUGCUCGAAAAUGAGCUUGAUAAAGUGGGAACGUCAGACACAACAGAGAUUGCCAGACAAAUUGAGAGAUUCUCAUGUGCAGCACCUAUUAAACGAGAGAGUGCUUAUGCAAGGUUAUAUGAUAAUUGUUGAUAAUUCCUUCUUCUGUCGUAACCCUUCUAUAUUUGAUUCUUAUCCUACCUUUGAGUUGCGUUAAUAAAUCAGAUUGGACACUAUAAACAAAUGUUUCUCGAAGAAUACGGUUGAAGACAUAUUAUUAGCGCUUGUAAGUGUAUCUUAACACCUUAUUUUUACAAAUAUAUAUAUAUAUAUUAAACAAUUAUAUUACAAAAAUAAAAUAAUUUUUGUAUGCAGGAGAAGGAAAUGAAAUAUAAAGCAGAAAAGUGGAUAAUCAAGGCAAUAAAGUCUAUGGAAGCUGCUAGUCCCACUAGCCUUAAAAUCUUUUUGAGAUCAGUAUGUUAUUGUUCAUAUUCUAAAUAGUGAAAAAUCACUUAAUUUGCUGUUAUUGUUCAUAUUUUAUUCAAAUAGUAAUAAUAAAGAGGUUUGAAAUUGAUAAUAUAUUUUUUUUAAAUCUUUGAUCAGAUCAGGAAAGGGCGAGAACAAACACUUGAACAAUGUCUUAGUUUUGAGUAUAUAGUCGUAUGUAACAUUCUACGAGGAUCUAUUAGCAAAGAUUUUUGGGAGGUAAGGACGAAGGAUUGAUGAUGCCUUGGUUAAUUUCAAGAUUAAAUUUAUUACUAAAUUGAUGAUGCUUGCAGGGUGGAAGAGCGAAGCUAAUUGAAAAAGACAAUAAACCCAAGGUACUCUUGCCAUUAUGUGAAGAUCUAUUUGCAAUGAUUUUUUAACACUUAAUUGAAUACAAUUGCAACUAUACAUUCAAUUCAUUUCUGAAAUCCUACUUUCGUUGGAACAUAUAAAAUAUUCCAAGACAAGACAAUAGAGGGAAAACGGGUAUCAGUACAUGGAACUUUAGAUGUUAAUAACAGAGUUGUGCAAGCCCUCUCUUUCUUGAAGAAAUGUCUGAAAUAAAGUAUACUUGACACAAACCAAAGAAUGAUUUCCUGCUGCUUUUCUGAUACUAGGUGUUUCAGUUUCAAGUAAUAAACAAUCAACAUAUAUUCUAAGAUUUUUUUUUGUUUUUGAAAUAAAAAAUCAUGAUUGUCAAAGUUUCACCUCAAGCAUCUUCCUACAGAAUAGCAAAUUGAUUAGUACAAAUUUGUUAGAUUUUUCUGAAGCAAAGUUUGCAAGAUAUUACAGGACAAACAGUGUCGUAUUUCAUAAGUAAGACUUAAUGGGUUGGGUUAGAUUCUAAGCACAAUGAUGUUCAUCACCUUUCAGUAAUAAAAUGCUGCUAUUCAAAAAAGAAAAAGAUUCUAAGCACAAUGCUUACUCCAUUCAUUUGAUUUUUGUUUCUUUUUGAAUAUAUAUGACAGUGGGCGCCUUCAAAUUUGCAGUCAGUUAGCGAAGAAACAGUAAAUCGCUAUUUUACUGAGGUUGAUGAUCCUCACUGGGAAAUUCUACGUCUUCCUGAUCGACCCAACUUGGUUGAUGCUCUGAAAUCCAAGAUGUGAGCAAUUUGGCUGACAGACCACAAACAAAGAUUUGGAGUAUUGCAACAUCUUUUAGUUUAAUUCCACAACUUUGUACCUGUACAAGUAGAUUUUAGUAGGAAACAUCUGCAACAUAUGUAGUGCCUCGUAUGGAAGACCAAAGUGAACAAGCAAGGAAUAAAAGUCAGCUCCAGCCUUUGCCCAGCAGGUACUGGGUAGUGAGCUCCUUUUGACUGUGUACUCGUAGGUUGCUCCUGUCUGAUCUUGCCAUGUCAAGAAAAGGGACCCCACCCUUGUGGAAACCUUCCAAACCUUUCUAUUUUUAAAAUAAAUUUUAUGGUGAAACUGUGCUAGAACAGAGAAUCUGUUCUUAAUUCUAAGCCAUUUGUUUGCUUCAGAAUCUGAAGUUGAUCUGGUAAGGUAAGUCUUCUCUCUUUUGGUCAUCCAUUUCCUUUUUGCGAUCGAAUAUGAAUUGAUCGUUAUGCCCACCAUACAAGUUUAUUCCUUUGUUAUCAUUUCCAUUUUCCGUGUAAUAUAUUGCUUUUUGCAUUUCUUUAUAAUUCCUCUGUUAGAUUUCUCAUAAAAGACCAGAAAAGUAAAGCGAAGCUAUAAUCUGGAAUUCUGGAUAUCAUUUUCUUGUUCCAGUUUUCUCAAUCUCGACGUAUAUUUUGUUGUCCUUUAGUAUCUGAUAUAUAGAAAGAAAACAAGGAUUAUUUUCGUGCUGAAAUCUUGAUUCGACCUUUUUUCGUCACCUGGAUGGAACCUCACGAAGCAUGAUUCUUUAGAAAGCUUAUAUUAAUGCUAAAAUAUUCUGAACAGAAUGUAUGCCUUUUUGAUGGCAGGAGAAAAUGUCCUUUCUUCUUGAAUUCUUGAAAUGCGCUCUGUGUUGUGAAGACGAGCACGUUGAUGGUAGUUGUGAGGAUGAGUGCAGUGAUGUUAGUGACAAUGAAACCUCCUUCAGCAAUAUUUAUAGUACAACUAGGAUUUAUAACACAUUUUCUAGCUGGCUCUCCACUCCUAGUUCUUCCAUAGACGAAUCAUCUUCAGUAACCAGAACUCGCAAUUACCCACAGCAUUACUUAAAUUCAUCUCUCAGUUCAUCGCUCUUGAACCCAACCAGAAAAGAGUCAACAUGGCAGUCCAGGCCAAGUGAUGUACCUGUUGAAUACAGGGUAGUUCUAGGUUCAGAGACAAAUAAUCCUAGUUCAAUUGGAUCAUUGUAUCUGAAGUCUGUGGACAGAAUUUAUCAAGUGCCUCAGAAUCCUAGGAGUUCUGGUACAUACAACAUUCAUUCAUCUCCAACUCCCACGAAACCACCUCAGUCUUCAACUAAGCUGAUUCUCGCUCCUUGUAGUCCAUCGCCAUCAUCCCUUAAACCCCCAACAUCUUCUCCUAAACCCCCCGCAUCUUCAAAACCAUCUCCAUCAUCUCCAACGCCUUCUAAACCGUCUAUGUGGUCUCCCAAACCCUCUUCAUAACAUCUUCUAAACCAAGUUCAUCCUCCUCCACGCCAUCUUCAUCUUCUUCUAACCCCCUUCCGUCCCUUAAGCCAACUGUAUCCCCUGUACCUUCUUAUUUUAUCGACCAGCAAGGGAAAGGAAAGUAUACUUGGGCUGAUCCAAAGGAUACAUUACCUAUUUACAAGAUUCCCAAGGACAUUGAGGACUUAAUCAAGAGAGAUAUUCUGCCUGAAGUUCUGGUGAAAGCCUUGUCUCCUUCAACUUACCAGGAUUAUUUUGCAGCUCUUCUCUAUGCCGAGGACUACUACAUUGAGGUAAAGAAAACAAUUGCCUUUCAUGAAAAGUUCAAUAAUCCAAUUCUAUCUAACUUUUCUAUUUGUCUCUUUCUUUUAACCUAAGAGACUUCAUCAAAAUUUGUUUUGUGUAAUUUAUGUCAUUGAUUUAUUCAUGUUGAAUGUUUUGGUGUGGGAUUUAGCUGGGCUGAAUGUACUUAUAAGACUAUUGUCCUUAAUUAAGCUAUGAUCUAUGAUAAACAAGUACUCAACAUAACAAGUAAUGAUUGAAAGCUUGCAAUGGGCUUCUUGUAGCUUGAGUUGUAACCAGUCUUUUGACUAAUUUAGAAUUGCCAGCCUUAAACUCCAAUCUUUUUGUAUCAGAGCAACUAGUGAGGACUGAAAAGUAGUAUUACCAUGGGACGCCAGAGUUGUGAAGUGUGAAAGAAAAAAAAAAAAUUACAAAGCAGUAAAACCAUCUCCACAUACUAUCCAAGUUGAAUGCAUUAGAGUUUAGUAUGAGGGCUCAUAGGCAUAUUGUUUGAUUGGGCUAAAUAUUCAGAAAAUUUCUUUUAGGUGCUCUACUUAAUGUAAAACAAUUCUUCCAAAAGGGUAAUGACCACGCAAAAAAAAAAAAAUUUAGAAAAAAGGAGAAUGGUUUUGGCAAUGACUGUCAUCUCUAAAACUAUAAUCCAAGCUAAGAUUGAGGAAUUUAGGAGAAAUUUUAAUAUUAAAGGAUAUUUAUUUAUUUCAAAAUGAUAAAAAAAUAAAUUUGAAAUAAACAUGUAAAAUAAGUUUAACAUAAAUAAAUAAAUGAGUAAAAAAAAUUCUCCGAUAAAGAAAUUUCAAGAAUGUUAUCAAGGAUAAUUUUCUUAAAAAUUUUUGGGUGAGAAAUUUUUCUUGAAUUCUACCAUAAGUAUGAGAGUAUUCAAGAGACAUUUCAAUAUCAAGAGAUUUUUAUUUAUUUGAAGAAACAUAUAAAUAUAAAUAUAAAUUAAAUAAAUAAGAUAAGUCAAGGACUGAAUAAAAAUUCUCUGAGUAUGAAAUUUCGAUAAGGUUAAAAGUAAUAACUUCGAGAAAAUUUCUAGGUGAGAAAUUCUUUUGAAUUCUACUAUAAGUAUUGGAGUAUUCAAAAGACAUUUCAAUAUCAAAGGAUUUUUCUUUGUUGUAAAAAUGAUAAAAUAAAAUAAUAAAAUAUAAAAUUAAUUAAAAAAAAUAAAACUAGAUAUAGAAUUUAAAAUUGAUUUAUUAAGGCUAAAAGGAUAACAUAUAAUUAAUUAGGUACCAUGUUAAGUGGACAUUGUGAAGGUACUAACACCUUCUUCACACGUAGCUAUACUUCCGAACCUAGCUUGUUUCAUAGACAAGAACCUAUCCUUUUAAAUGAACUUAAGUCAAGCUUGGGAUUUCAUUAAAAAGUAUAGAUUCAUCUAAGUAACCAAUCACACCUAAACAAAAAAAAAUUGGUGGUGACUCUUCUUUCAAGUCAAACGGUUGAGUUUAUAAACUUACACAUUAUGACAGCUUGGUGACUCCACUGGGGAAUUUGUGAGUUAAGCUUAUAAUUAAUUAUGUGAUAUCCUAAAGCCUUAACUAAUUCGAUAUUCUAUUUUAUUUUCCUUAGUUUUGAUUUUGGUCACUUUGUUUGUGCAUAUACUUGUUGUUUUGAGAUUUGUAUGUCCCUUUGCACACACUAAACUUUUUCAUGCAAGCAGGAGUCCUAUACCCAGGCUCUAUCCUAUUAAGAGGAAGUAGAGUACUACUCUCGUGAGGUGAUAACCUCUGUGUGGGAAUGCAAAACACUUCCACUCAAAUUGAAUCUUUUUCAUUGGUAGCUUGUAAUAAGUGAAGAUUUAGGCGCUUUACUAGUCUAAAGGGGAUGUCAGUAAGGAACAAUUUAAGAACCUUUAGCUUUGUGUGAAACCUUUCCCAACAUAUAGUAAGCUAUAAGAAGCCAAAUCUAAGUAGAGCCUUACCAACCCAUUGCAUAGAAGAGCAAACAAAGUUUGGUAUACAUGAUAAAUACCUUGAAAUGCAUUCAUUCACCAUUAUUCAUAAACAGAUGCAUAUUCAUUUUGUGUUUGUAAAUAGAUCAAUAAUUGUAAAAAAUGCAAUCAUCAUUUUAUGGCGUAAGCACAUUCUAAUCCAUGUUUAUGGCAAUAAGAAGGUUAAAGAACAGUUCAACCACUGAAAACCCCGAGGGAGCCUAUUCAUUAUUUGUAUCAAACCAAGUCUUAGAAUAAGAUCAUGGUGUCGUAAUGUGCGGGUCCGAGAACCCGACCAUUAGACGUGGGAUAAUUUAAGGAGUCGCCACCAAUCCUUUUUUACGUAGGUGUGAUUGGCCACUUAAUAAAUUUGUUCUAUUCAACGAAAUUCUAAAUUAAUUUUAGUUCGUCGAAAGAACGAUAACUGAUCUACAUAUUUUAUUUAAAGUUAGGUUCGAGAGUAUGGUUAUGCACAAGGAAGGAUUAGCACCCUAUGACGCCCGUUCCACGAACGGUACCAUUUAAUCAUAUAUUAUCCUAACCCAUUAAUUUUAUUUUUAUGUUUCUUUAAUUUUAUUUAUUUAAUUAAUCUUUUAUUCUAUUAACAAGUUAAAAUGUUUUAUUUGGUUUUACAGGUUUGACGUACACGUGAUGCAAUCAUGAAAUGCAUGACAAAAAAUCUGAGUAAUGCCAAACGAAACCUUUAUUGAGGAUAUUUUUCGAAUCUGCCCAUCACAUUGGUGUGAUUCAAAAAUAUUCCAUCACUUAGGGAAUUAUUAGAGAAACUCGCUUUUUCAAGUUUAAUGAGUAAAUCCCAUUAUCGAGGUAGUCAUUUGCAAGUAAAAAUGAUAUUUUUUGUGAAUGCAAACCUAUUACGAGCGGAAGCAUUUUUAUUAAAGAUAUUCUCCGAGCCCUCCCAUCAUUCUAGUGGGACUCAGAGGUAUUUUUCACUUAUGAAAUUUUUUGAAGAAACUCACCUUCGCAAGUUCUCUCGAAAAGUCCCAUCAUUAGGGUAGUUGGUUGCAAGCAAAAAUGAUAUUUUUUUGUGAAUGCAAACCUAUUAGAGCGGAAGCCUUUUUAUUAAAGAAAUUCUUCGAGCCUUUCUAUCGUACUGGUGGGACUUGGAGGUAUCUUUUCACCUAGAAAAUUUUUCAAAGAAACUCACCUUCGCAAGCUCUCUCGGACAGUCCCAUCAUCGGGGCUUAUACUCGUAUACAAAAUAUAUCUAUAUGCCAUGACAUUUAACAAUGUAACAAUGGUACGUGAUGCACUCAUAAUUUUAAUGUUUGUUCUUUAUUUUAUUAUUUCUCCGUGUGAGCAUAUAUACCAUGAAUAAAUAUUUUAUAUUUACUUAUUGUUCCAUUGUUUAUUUCGUUAUGUAUUUUGUUAUGUAAGUACUUAUUUAGUUUACUAUAUGAAUUUUCCAAAAUCAUGUUUUUUAGACCAAGUAUUAUUAUUAUUUUUUAUUUCAUAAUUAUUGUUUAUUUAUAUGUAUUUUAUCUAUUCUUUUUUGUAUUAUUAUUAUGAUUACCAAAUUUAUUGUUACCAUUAAUUCCUUAUUUCUUUUGUUUGUAUAUUUUGAUUAUUUGGUAAUUAAGUAAAUAUAGACUUUUUAUUUAUUUAAAAUUAAGAAUAUCGGAAUCCCGAAUUAAGACCCUUCUAUUGUACUGGUGGAGUCUUAAUCAAAAUCCCUAACCUAAAAAAAUUCACUCAAAAUUGUGACUUCUCGCGUUUCGAAUGAACAUCUCAUCAUCGACAACUCAUAUGGUUAGAUAUUCUCUCAAUUAGUAAUAUUAUGUAUAUUUUUAUAUUUAAUAAUUUCGUAUUGAAUCCCAUUCUUUUAUUUAGUUAUUUUUUAUAUGUACACCUAUAUAUAUUUAAAUAUUCCAUUUCUACUACCUACCUAACCUAUUUUCAUUCAUGAUUAAAUAUAUUUUAUUUUAUCUUAUGUUUUCUUUCAUUUGUAAAAGUAUAUUUCUUUAUAAUUAGGCAUUUUACCAUUUUUUCUAUUUAAAUCUCUCUUCACUAAACAUUUAUUUAUUAUUUAUUUUUUUAGUUUACGUUACUAAUCCUAUAACCGUGAAUAUACUUUUUAUGUAAACAUUUAUUUUCUACUUAUACAUAUAUGGAUAAAUUCUACUUAUCUAAUCCUAAUUUUCUUUAACUAAAAAACUCAUUUAUAUAAUUUUUUAUGACUAACCAUAUUACCUCUUUUAUUUUUAAAAAAUAUUAUUUAUAUAUUAUUAUUUGUAUGGUUUUCUGUUUAUUAUAAUUUCUUAAAUAUAUUUUCUCUUAUUUAUUAUUUUAUAAAUAUAUUUAUAACCUUGUAAAACUAUAUUAAAUACUAAUAAAAUUAAUAAUAACAAUAACAUGCAUGCCCAAAUAGCCAAAGAUCUAAAACUUACCCAAAAUUGUAAGCCCAAUGAAGCCCAAAGGAACUCAAUCCACAAGAGCCCAUAAGCUUUUCUUCUCUUCCUCUUCCUUUCUUUUUUUUUUUUGGCCGGCUUUCCUACUCUCUUUUUUUUUUCUUUCAUUUCCUUCUUUCUCUUUCUUUUUUUCUCCUUUUCCUUCUCUUCCUCUCCUUUUGGUCGGCAUCUUCCCUUCUCUCUUUCCUUGGCUUUCCUUUCUUUCCCUCUUUUUUUUUCUUUUUUCUCUUCCUUUCUUUCUCUCUCUCUCUUUUUCUUUUCCUUUCUUCUCCCUCUUCUCGACUUUCCUUUCUCCCCCUCUUUCUUUUUCUUUUUUUUUCUAUUCUUUCCAUCUCUCUUUCUUCCUCAUUAGCGUCUUUUCUACCUUUAGCCGGCUUUGUCACCAGCCUCCCCUUUUGAUUCAGACCCAACCCAUCAAAAAUAAAAUCUGCUCCACUCCUCUCUCAUUACCCAAACCCAUUGGCUUUUUCCCUUUUUUUUAAUGCCUUUUUUUGUUGUGAUUUUUUUUAUUGUGACUAGGAUAGUUGGCUGAUAGAAUUUAGGAUUUUUUUUUUGAUUUGCAGGUUUUUGUUGUUUGAAGAAAAUGAGAAUUUUUUGUUGUUGUUGGAUUUGGUUUUUUUUUUUGUUUCAAAAUCCUCCCCUCUUGUUUGUUUGAGAACCCCUUUUUAAGAGCUAGAUUGUCUAAAUUCUUGGACAAUCCAAAUGUGAAAUCAUGGUCUUCUGACCAUGAUUUCACAAGGUCUGGCACUAGGAGGGUUGGUAGCCGGAGAUGACCCAUUCUCCCCAAAUCUAACUACCUCUCAGGGGCAUUAAAUACCUUGCAAUGAUUGACUGGAGAGAGAAGCUGAGCAUACGCUCAAUCCUUUCCCUUCUCUGUUCUUUUUUAUUAUUAUUAUUAUUAUAUUAUAUUUUUAUUUAUUUUUAUUUUUGGUUGAUUUUUUUGGAAAUAGGUGUCUACACAUGGCAAAUGAAAAGUUGAGUCAAAUAAAAAUGGUUGAGAAAACUCAAGAAGUGAUAAUGGAAAAGAUGGUAAGAUUGAUGGAAAAUAUGACCACUAUAAAGGGAAAAGGUAAACUAAAGAACCUUUUGCUUUAAGUGAUGACAAAAGGGAGCCUUAGAUGCAUGUUCCUCAGGGCUACCAAUUGAGGCAUACCAAUUCCAACCACUUAUGGAUCAAACAUCAACCUAAGGACACAUUGUGCCAGCUUUAAGUGUCAAUGCUUGUAACCUAAUCCCUAUGUCUUAUUUGGACAAUCCUAAAGAUCAGAAAAAGUGAAAAGGAGUUUUAGGGACACAAAAAAAGUAUGACCAUUUGGAGGAACAUCUUAGAGCUAUUGAAGGUUUGGAUAGUUAUACUAUCAUUAAUGCUGCAGAGUUAUGUCUAGUGCUUGGUGUGGUGAUCCCACCUAAAUUUAAGAUCCUAGAUUUUGAAAAGUAUGAUGGGACAAAUGUCUAAUGGUUCACAUCAUUAUGUAUUGUCGGUGAAUGACUACUUAUACAAAAAAAAUGAUUAACUCUUGGUUCAUUACUUCUAAAAUAAUUUUACAGGGUCUGUAGUUGGAUGGUAUGUCAAAUUGGACAGAAAUAGAAUCCAAUCUUGGAAGGAUCUCGCUAGAGCUUUUAUAUCUCAAUAUAGGCACGUCAUAGUCAUAGCCACAGAUAGAUUUUCUUUACAGAGCAUGAAAAACAAAAUCACAGAAAGUUUUAAAGAGUAUGCUCAAGGAAGGAGAAAUAUGGCUGUGCAAGUCCAACCACCUUUCAAUAACAAGAAGACAACGAUCUUGUUUAUCAAUAUUUUGCAUACUCCAUACUAUGAAAGGCUAAUUGGCAAUGCCACCAAAAUUUCACCGACACGGUGAUUUCAUGAGAAAUUAUGAAAGUGCUAUCAAGUAAAGCCAUUCAUUCUGAACUUUUUGUACACAUGUUGGGUAAUGAACAAUUGAAGAAUGGUUAGGAGAUUGCAUUGGUAAAUCUAGGACCCCCUAGCUUGAAGUAGAAUAAUUAGAGGGUCAUGGAGUUAUUUGUCACUCUUGAGUCUCUUGCAAAGUAAUUGACUUAAAUCCUUAAUGCUUAUGCUUAAGAGUUUAGGGAAAGUUUUUCUGAACAAUGGGCUUUAAUUCCAUAUCAUUUAAAUAAAAAUGACACAUAUGAUGCAUUCUCAUAAUUGUUCUUCCAUUGUCAUUUCUUUAUUUACAUAUCUCUUCAAUUUAAGUUGUCAUAUCCCUACAUCCCUUUAAUUUUACCUAUCUCCAAGUUUCCAAGUAUUGAAUAUGAGGCUAGUAUUUAUAAAAAUUCUGGAUUUGAUUUUGAAAAAAAUACAUGUGUUGAUGAGCAUGAUAACAAAAAGAAUAUUGAUAAUUGUCUCUUGUCUCAUGAUUUGCUAAGGUUGGUCGUGCAAAAAGAAAACAGAUAGAACCUUAUAAUGAAUUGAAAAAUGUAAGGAAGGAAAAAAGAGAAAGAGAGAGAGAAAAGAACAAAAAAAAAUGAUGGAAAAAAGAAAAAAAUCAUCCUUUGUUUCAUAUUUAUCUCCUCUAGAGUUUGCUUUUCGAUGGAAGUAAUCAUGUUUGAGAUGAGAAAUGACCAUCUUUCAUUUUUUCUUCAUAAAUGAGAAAUUAUCAAUUUUUUACCCUUUUAAGCUUAUUGAAUUUUUUUUUAUAAUAUACCUUAUCUAAAGAUUACCUUCUAUAUUAUGAGGCAAUUACAAAAGAAAACCUUCAAAAGGCAUGAAUCUAAUCUUACUUCAAGGACAAAGAAAGAAUGCCUUUUAUUAAAAGGGUAAAAGUGGAGUAAUUUGAGUUCUACAAAAACAAAAAAUCUUGAACUCAACCCAUCAAAAUAGGAAAAUGUGACAUAAAAAAAAAGAAAGAAAUAAGAUGGAUUGAUGAAAGCAAACUAAGAUUGCACUGAAAUGGACCUUGAUGAAAGCAAAUUGCACUCCAACCAAGCUAUGGCGCCAACACAAAGCUAUAAUCCAAACAAGCAACCAAACUAUGGUGUCAAUUGAUUAUUAUUUUCUUAUUAUGAUUUAAACGGUAUCAUUUAAUACCUUCACUAUAUAAACCCAAAAUAAAACACUAACUCCAUUGUUACACAAGCUUUUCUCUCUCUAAUGCACAACACCUUUUCUCCCUUCUUUCCCCUUCAUCAAAUGGAAACCCUUGAAUUUUUCCAAAACUAAUCUCUUUCUCUCACCACUAAAAGCAAAGUUUUCUGCUUACUGAAAGCUUUUCUUUCUCUUAUUUUCCCUUUCCCAGAUUUUUGGCUAGUAUUUAUGGCCAUUUUUGUUUUAAUCUUAACUUGGAUUGGGAUUUUCUUUUUCAAAAAUUGAAUUUGAAAAUUGGUAGAUUAGGAUUGCUUUCAUUCAAACUUUUUUUUCUUUUCUUUUAUCUUUAUUAUUAUCUUUUUUUAAUUUUUUUAAUAUUUUACUUAUCUUUAUUUUUGUUAGUGAGACACCUUGGACAAAAUAGGGUGUCUACAAAGACUAUCUAACCAUCUUUUACUAAUCUUUUUUUCAUCUUCCAUCUUCUAGUAUCCAACCAUUUCUUUUUUUGAAGGGCUCAAGAAAUUGUUGAGAAGGUGCAAUGCUGACUAGAAUUUAAGGGUAAUGAGAACGAUGGAGAUCAACGAGAAUUAGAGGAGAAAAAGACUCCCAAACUAGUGUUUUGUCUACAAUCUUUCCAUGGUUUUUCAUGGUUAGAUGAUGCUAAAGGAAAGGUUGUUGGUAUAUUUUGUGUUUGGUGUCAAUGAUCCAACGAUGUAUGUAUUUAUAGGGCUUCAAAGGGAUUGUAAGGGACGUAUAUGGUGUUUGUGAAAGAAUAUUUGUCACUAGAUAUAUAUCUCAUCAGGUUUGAUAUGGGGCAACUUGUAAGGUACAUGGAGUGUUUGUUAGGUGUUACAAAUAACUGUAAAAGAGCAAAAGAGGGUUACGGUUUGAUAUCUAACCCUUGAUUAUUAAUAAAAUGAAUUGGUUUAUCAAAAAAUAAAAAGUAUAUAAUCAAUAAAAAAACUCUCAAAAUUUUCAUUUUGUAGUCCUUUGACCCUUGUAAAUAGUCUAAUAUCCAAGGAAGACCCAUUAUAAACAAUACUUUUUACUUUUUGAUGCUAACAAUACUAUAUCAACUAAAAUAACAAAGAAUAAGGAACAAUUUAUCUAAUAAGGGUAAAUUAUUAUAGAGAAAAUUGUGAGAAAUAACCUUCUUUACAAGCCUAAUUUAAAAAUAGUCCUCAUAAUAAUUUCAACUAUUUUUACCCAAUUUUUGGCAUGACUUGAUAUCAAUGCCCUUUAAACAAUUUCAAACAAAGUAAAUGGUCCCGUUUAUCCUUAUCUCAGCAUCUAGAAAAAAAAUUCUAAAAUUAUUAUUUAUCUAGCCAUCUAGUUCUCUCUUGGCAUCCCAAAUUCUGUCACUUACAAAAUGCUAUUUAUCUUGCCAUCUGGCUCUCAAUUCGCCGUCCCAAAGAGCAGAGAUGACAUCAAGGUCUGUGUUUUGGGUUGUUGGGUUUAUUGGUUUAUAUUCACAGAAUAAAGUCCUAAAGUCGAGGGGUUAAAAUUGAUUAAACAUGUAUGUAAAUUAGAGAUCUAUGUGACCUUGGCAACUUAAACCUGGCUACUGAAAGUAGGCAAAUCAAUUAGUUAUUAAGCAUUACGUUAUUGGUUUUUAAGCGUUGAGUCAUUAGUUUCUAGGCAUAGGAGAAAUAAAGGUUUUUAGGCAUUGCGUUACUGGUUUAUAGGCAUUACGAGAUUGGUAUUUAAGCAUUAUGUCACUAGUUUGUCAGCAUUGCAAGACUGGUAUUUAGGCAUUACGUGAUUUAGGCAUUUCGAGACAAUCUUUUAGGCAUUACGAGACUAAGUAGUAGGUAUUGCGUGAUUGGUUUUUAGGCAUUGUGUGACUGAGUUGUAGGGAUUGUGGGAUUGAUUUUUAGGCAUUAUGUGACUGGGUUGUAGGGAUUGAUUUUUAAUGUGUGGGGAAUUGAUUUUAUGGGUCCAUUCAUUACAUCCUUCAAUAAUGAAUACAUUUUGAUUGCUGUUGAUUAUGUCUCUAAAUGGGUUGAAGCUGUUGCAUUGCCAAGGAACGACUCUAAAGUAGUGAUAAACUUCUUGCAAAGGAAUAUCUUCACACAUUUUUGGUACAUUUAGAGCCAUAAUUAGUGAUGAAGGAUCUCACUUCUGCAACAAAAAUUUUGAGGCAUUCUUGGCCAAACAUGGAGUGAAACACAAAAUAGUUACUACUUAUCAUUCUCAAACAAGUGGCCAAGCUAAAGUUUCAAAUCGAGAGAUUAAAAGAAUUUAGGAGAAGAUUGUAUGUCCUUCCAAAAAAGAUUGGUCCAAAAAGUUGGAUAAUACUUUAUGGGCUUAUAGAACAACAUGUAAAACUCCAAUUAGGAUGUCUCCUUAUAGAUUGGUGUUUGGAAAAGCUUGUCAUUUUCCCGUCGAGGUUGAACACAAGGCAUAUUGGGUAAUUAAGAAACUUAAUUUUAAUCUUCAAGUAGCCAGAGAAAAAUGUCUUUUGCAACUCAAUGAGAUGGAUGAAUUUCGUCAAGAAGUAAUGAGAGUGCAAGAAUCUACAAAGAAAAGACAAAAUGAUGGCAUGACAAAAAAAUCAUAAGGAGAAGUAUUGAGCCUGGCCAACAUGUUCUCCUAUACAAUUCUUGUUUAAGAUUAUAUCUUGGAAAGUUGAAAUCUUGUUGAUCUGGACCUUUCACUGUGAUGAAAGUAUAUCCCCAUGAAGCAGUGGAGGUAAUUGAUGAUAAAUCAACCUUCAAGGUGAAUGGGCAACGAUUAAAGCAUUAUUAGGUGGCGAUUUCGAUUGUCAAAGGUCCUCAAUCACGCUUAUCGAUGCAAUUUAAAUCAGAGAAAGUCAAACCAAAGAUAAUAAAUCAAGUGAUUCUUGGGAGGCAACUCAAGCAUUCUAACUUACAUUUUUAUUUUCUUUUAAUUAUUUAUUUACUUAUUAUUAAAUUAUUAACACUUUAUUUUUAUUUUGCAGGUACAUAUAUAGAAAAAAAUCAAAAAAUAAAAAAUUUUAAGGAAAAGGGGUAGGCCGCGACUUCCCCAAGAGGAGGCUACGGCCCAACAAGACCCAACAACGUAGGCCGCGAUGCCCCUAAAAGGUUGGUCGCGACCCCGUUAAAAAAAAAAAAACCCAUUAAGGCCUCGUUGCUCCGAAAACAAGGCCUCUGCCUCGUGGCUUUUUAUAACAUGAACCAUGGCUCCCACAAAGGGUAGGCCAUGACCCCCACUAUUAUGGGCUGCCAUUGAAGGGUAACCCACUACCCAGAAACCACCUCCCAUUUAUUAACCCCCUCUCUAUUGGGGGCUACCAACAAUGGACAACCCACAACACAUACAUGCCCCUUAUAUGAACCCCUCCCCCUUUACUUCAGCGCCCCUACCCUUCUUCCCUUAGUGCAAUUUUCUACACUUUUCACAUUUCUUUCCCACCAAUUCUUCUCCGUCUCUCCUCUACUCAUCCCCCUACCCUUAUUUCCCUUUCAUCUUUCUUUCUCCAUACCUAUUACCCACAUCAAUCUCUUCCUUCCACACUUAUUUUGGAACAAAUUUGCUCUAACUUUUAAGUAAGUUUCCAUAUUUUUUCUCAUAUUUAUAUAUUUAUAUCUAUUUUUUUUAUUUUUAAGAAAUAUUGUUGACUUAUUUUCCAUUAUUUAUUUUGUUGGAAAUUUGUGAUGAGUAUUGAUGAUUCUUGAGACAAUGUGCUUAGUUAUUUUAUGUGUAUGGUAGAUUGUUUAGAUUUGUGCUUCACAUUUAUAGGGUAUGUUGAAAUUGGGAAUAUGGGUGAGUUUCUUGAUUUUCAAUUAUUUUUUCCUAUGCGUAGUAGUUUAGAAAUAUUAUAAUUGUUGGAUUUUUACUUGAUACUACAAGCAUUAUUUUAUUAUGAUGAGAAGACAUAUGGGUUAAUAUCGUUGGUGGUCUAUUGUGUUUUGUUGGUAUUUUUCUUUUCUUUUGGUUGAGAAUUAAUUAUAGGAAAUUUAUGAAUGGCACCCGAACGAUUAAGACAAAAUUCUAAUGGUUUGUUUGAUUAUACUAGAUUUGUGUCAGCUAAUGCUAUGGCUAGACACCAAUUCUUUUGCUAACAAAAUUACAAUACUUGAACGAGAAUUGAAUCAAGGGUUGAUUACACACAUUGACCUUCAACCAAUGAUUGAGAGCCACUACUAGCAAAAAUUUUGUGCCUUGCUAGCAGCUGCAAGCAUCCCUCUAGUAAGAGAAUUUUACGCUAACGUUGUUGAAGCUAUUAGUGAUUUUCUUUCUAUGCGAGGUAAUUAGUUCCAUUCUAGAGCCAUGUCAUCAAUAAAUUUUAUGAAGCUUCUAAUAUUGACAACGAUGGCUAUGGGCAAUUUUUGUCUGAGCAUGAAGAUUGGGAUGAUAUCAUUCAUAUACUUUGUGAGGUGGGUGCUCAAUGGUAAUUUUUUAAUAAUGAACCUGUUUCAUUCAAAAGGAAUGUGAUGAAACCAACUUCUAAAAUAUGGUUGUAUUUUGUGGCUUCCAAAUUACUUGCUACCACACGUACCAGUAACGUCACAAAAGAUUGAGCCAUUCUUAUUCAUUCCAUCAUGAUUGGAUGCACAAUUGAUAUUGGUUGCGUAAUUUACAAAGCCAUGACUCACACUGCACAAUCAAAGUAUGAAGGCUUGUGGUUCCUUUCUUUGAUUACAGCUUUGUGCAAACAAGCUGGUGUAACUUGGGAUGCUAGUGGGAAGUUGUUGCACCCUAAACAUCUAAUUGAUCUCAAUCUUAUCCUUAGACAACCUCAAACUUCGACUAAGGGUAGUUUUUCUUUUACACACCAUCCACGCCCCCUUUCGACCAAGACACCAACAAUUGUCAAUGACUUAAAAAAUUGAAAACCUAGAGCACUUAGUUUCAUCAUGGGUUACUUUCAUCUUGGGAUGUUUCAGAGAGUUUGGCUUGGUGGCUUAAAUGUAGAGAGUUAAGAGGUCUUCAUGUUAACUUUUUCUUGAAGUACAUAUGUUUCACCCUCCUACCUUGUUCUUAUGUACCUUUUCACAUACGCCUUUUUCUUUUAUACAUGUUCACAUACUCUUUUUUCUCUAAACUUGUUCUCAUAUAGCUUUUUUCAUCUACCUUUUCUCUAUUACCUUCUACUUGAGAACAAGGCUUAUCGCAUCAAAUUACUUCAACGGUCACUCAUAUUAUAUGCCAUAAAAUCACCACUUUAAUGUCCAUAUAAUGUGUUACAUUAACAGUUAUUCCCAUUAAAUUUCUUCAUAAUAAUGACAUUCAUUAGGCGUAUUAAAGCCUAUUAUUGAGUAACCACCUUUUUUGGCACUAUAUAUAGAGCCUCACAAUUCAUUUAUGGGGGUUUCUCUUUUGGCUCAAAGCUAACACAUUCUUCUUUAGAGCUUCUCUUUUUAAUUAUCUUCUACUUCAUAAUUCUCUUUCACCUGCCACAAUACUUAGAACUACAGGAACUACUCCGAUUUUUCUCUUUACCUCAUCUGGCACAUCUUUUUACUAGUUUGCAAUGCUUCUUCUUCUUAUUAGAAGAACCCCUUUUACAUUUUGGUGACUCUACUAGGGAUGAGUGAUUGCAUUAGGAAAAAGCUUACUAGAAAAAAGAAACUAUCUUACAGGAAAAGAUGAACAGUUCCACCAUCACUUGUUGAAUGUAGAGGCUUGCGUAGAAUAUUCCACAAGAAGAUGUAAGCAGGAGAAUUAUUGAUUAAGAAUAAUAGGGUCCACAACAAUUCGCUUCUCACUCAUGUAUGAUAUUUCUAUGAUUUUGACUUUUCAUUUCUUUAUAAAUUGCAAUUUGACAUUAAAAAAAAUCAAAUUCAGCUGCUAGCAUUAUCGCUUAUAUUUUGACUAUAAUUAUAUUAUAUUAUUGGUCGCAAGCUUUAUCGCUCAUUCUUUAAUCAUAGAUCAUCACUCUUACUUCAGUCACAAGCUUUACUUCUCAUUCUUUGACCAUAAUUUAUCGUUCAUAUUCCAACCACUAGCUUUAUCGCUUAUAAUUUUUCUGUAAUGAUGUUACACUAUUGGCCACAAGCUUUAUCGCUCAAUUUUUGGUCUUAGCUUAUUACUCACAAAUUGGCCACAACUUUCACUUUUAUUUAUUUAAAAGGGUGAAUUAAUCUCCUUCACUUCAGGUUAGAGUUAAUCUCCUUAAUGUAAAGUUGGGAGUUCCCCUUUGACCGCAUACAAUGUGAAAUGUGAAUAAGUACGCAACAAGCGUUUAACAUUAUUAUUAUUGCAAAAAGAAAAAGAAAUACGAUAUACCAAUAGCAAAGCACUAGCUCAAAUGAGCUUUCAAAAGACUAGUUAAUUACAUAUUCCAUAAAAAAGAGCUAUUAUUGAUAAAGAUAUCUAAUUGUUCUCGUACUUCAGCUUCACGCUUUCUCAGUGAAGCUAUCUUUGUUACAAUGUCUUCUAACUCUUUUUCUAAAGAAUAUUUGUUGAGAAAAGCAUGGCUUUAGAUCUACAAUUAUUGAGGCAUUCAAGUUUGGUGAGUAUUUAUUAACAGAGCAUGAGAAAUCAUUAAAGCUUUACCCAACACCUUCAUCAUUAAACAAGUGACAUCCACGUUUUUAAAAAAAGAGGUACUCCAAAAUUCUCCCUUUAUACUGAAAAUAUGUUCCAAGUAUUCCACGUACUUUGAUUAAAUUUGAAAACUAUGGAAGUCAAUUUUCCUACCACUCUAUUCAAUACAUGCUAUUUAAGCACCCAAAACACUAUUGCCAUCUUUGUGUGCUGGCACUAGGGAGAAAAUUACGGUGUUAACUACAAUUUCGACAUCAGAUUCUCUGACUAUGUUGCAAUGCACGAUGGAUGCAAUUGCAAGACCAAUAUCUUUGCAUAAGGAUUGGCCUAAUUCACCUUGAAUGUUAGCAAUGAUAACUUUAGCUCUGUGCUUGCAAAAGAGUCUUGUGAUGCACUCCCCAAUACCGCUAGCACCUCCUGUGAUCAAUGCCACCUGGCCUUCUAGCCUUAGAACAAUUCUCAAUAAAAAAAAGACCAUGUAAUUGUCGAUAAUCAGUAACUAGCAUUAUUAAUAGAACUAAGUUACAAUUUUAUGUGUCUGGCUGCAUGCGUACAAUUUCUUAGAGAUAAAAUAUUGAUUGACAAUUGUUGCAGAAAUACUUAAAAAUAUUUCAUUAAUGGUUAAAAUUAAUUAGUUAUAAAAUAUUUUUAAACCUUAGGAUCUCUUGUAUCAUUUUCUGUUAUUAUUAUCUAAUUUAUUGUUUAUUGAUGAUAUUUGUGUUUUUGAGAAUUAGUUAAGAAAUUAUAAACUACCUCAGUAAGCGUACGAUUAUUAUAAAUCUAUUAAAUAAUAUUAUGAGAAAAUUAUGAAAGAUAACUUUUCUUACAAAUUCAAUUCAAAAAUAUCUUUUAUUAUAAUUUUAAUUAUUUUUAAUCAAUUUUUAACAUAAUUUAAUAACAAUAUUUUUUAAAAUAAUUUUAGAUAAAUUUAAAAAAAUUAAUUUUUUUUAUCCUACCAUCUAUAUAAAAGUUUUAAAAAUAAAUCUCUAUUUGUCUCACCGUUCAUUUCUUUCUCAGUAUCUUAAAAGAGCAGAGGUGAUAUCAUGAUAGUGUCUUAGGGUCUUGGAUGCAGAGGUUGCCCAUACACUAGCUGUUUCAGCUGCCGCUCGUGGUUCGGUUCCUAGGGAGAAGAGGCCUGAUCCACCGAUUUUGGGAUUAGAAGUUUGAGGAAGGAAGUUCUCAAACCCUAUAGGUCUUUCUGCUGGCUUUGAUAAAAAUGCAGAAGCUGUUGAAGGCUUACUUGGUAUGGGUUUUGGCUUUGUGGAAGUUGGUUCGGUAACCCCUGUUCCACAGGAGGGUAACCCAAUGCCACGCAUCUUUAGAUUGCGACAAGAAGGGUGAGAAUGCCUAAUCUCCCUUUCUACAAUUUUUUUAAUUAUGAUCUUGCUUGUUUGGUGGCAUUGGAUUGGAGCAGGCAAUAAUUUAAUGUGGUUUUUCUGAGAGAUUUGAUUGCUUGAACUCAUGUUGUUUGGAGUUUAAGAUUUUCUAUUUUAUCUAACUCGAUUUAUUCGUCAGUGCUAUCAUCAAUCGGUGUGGGUUCAACAGUGAAGGAAUUGUUGCUGUUGCAAGGCGAUUGGGUGCCCAGCAUGGUAAGAGGAAGUUGGAGACUUCAAGCUCUUCAUCACCCUCCAGUGAUGAAGCCAACCAUGGGGGCAAAGCUGGUCCUGGAAUUCUAGGGUUCAAUCUUGGAAAGAAUAAGACAAGUGAUGCUGCUGCUGCUGAUUAUGUUCAAGGAGUUCACACAUUAUCCCAGUAUGCCGAUUACUUGGUAGUUCUAUAUUCUUUAUUUUGGUUAAUUCAUUCCUCUCCAUGUUUUUUAUGAGUACAAAAUCUUCACACAAGAUAAAUGAUAGAAUUGGUAACUUGUAUUAUCUAAAAAUGUUGCUUAGCAUGACUUGCUCCCUUGAAAUUUCCUAUGCUUACCUCUUUAAGGAGGGAGGUGGAUACAUAUUUUUCAAAAUAUUAAUAUGUUUUCUGAUAUAACCUCGCGGGGGGGAUGGGGUUUGUAAUAUUACUACAAGAAGUUUUCCUUGAGUUUUUCUUUGUUUAAAACAGCCGUACAAUUCAAUUGUUUAAAUGCCAUAAUAUUGACCUCCUUUUGCACUACUUUCUAAGGUUAUUAAUGUUUCGUCACCAAACACUCCUAGAUUGCGUAUGCUUCAGGGAAGGAAACAGUUGAAGGAUCUUGUUAAGAAGGUAUAGAUCUCUGGCUCUGAACUUAAUCUUCCUUUUCUGAUAUAUUACAGCAGAAGUUUGAUCUUCUCAACUUUGCUUUGCAUUUUCGUCAAAGGUUCAAGCUGCUCGUGAUGAAAUGCAAUGGGGAGAGGAGGGUCCUCCUCCAUUGCUUGUUAAAAUUGCUCCAGACUUGUCUAAAGAAGACUAGAGGAUAUAGCAGCCGUAUGUCCUAUUUGCAUUUAGAUACUACUUCAUCGCUUGCCUAUAUAAUGUUCUUAUUCUUCUUUUUCUUUGAUCUUAGGUUGCUCUUGCCCUCCGCUUGGAUGGAUUGGUAAUUUUCUUCCCCUUUAAAAUUUUCUAUAUUUCUUGUCCAUGUCUUGUGCGAUUAGACUUUUCUCACUUGAUGGUGCAUUUCAGUCAUAUCUCUAACUCAUAUGCUUUUAUAGUUUGUAUUCAUAUAUGACCUUUUUGUUUUUUCACUAACAUUUUGGACAAAUGGAACAAGUUUUACUCUAGUCCUUACAUUAAUCUGUAAAGAAAGUUGCAUUUUCUUAAAGAAUAAUAUUCCCAAUGAAUUAUUUCUUCUAAAUGCAAUGAAAGAGCAUUGCUCAGUAGUAGUCUAAAUGUUAAUAAUGGUGUGAUUUAAGAAGCUGUGAUGUCAUAGUUUCUUUUUUGUUUACUUCAUUUUUUCUAUAUAAGGUUCAGAGUGAAUAGUAUCAGUGUGCAUUAAUUUUUUGUUUCUCUUCCUUUUAGUGUUCUUCCCUGACAUGCUACUUUCUCUGUUUUCUAGAUUAUAUCAAACACAACCAUUUCAAGACCAGAUCCCAUAAAUAAAAAUCCAGUCUCUGCAGAAUCUGGUGGCUUAAGCUUGAAGCCUCUCUUUAAUUUGUCAACCAAUGUCUUAAUUUGCCUAGAGAAGGAUGGUUUCAAGUCUAUCCAUGAUGCUGUUGGUGCUGAUUGCAGAUAGUAUUAAUACAAUCGAUCAAAUUAUGUUGCAUGUUAUUUAUCUCUAGAGAGAAGUCCAACAUCCCUUUAUAGAGUUAGUUAACCAUUUAGACUGCUAACAUAUAGAGUUCUGAAUUAAUUACCAACAUUAACCUUAAAAAUGAAAUACUGCGUCUAGCAUUUUCUACCAUGUAUGGCAACUCAAUUGGGAGUUGUGCUGACGUGACUUGUGAGAUGAUUUGUGGAACCAUACAUGCAUAGCAUCAGCAAAAGAUGCAGAGCGGAUGCUUUACAAUUAGAGCAACGUAAUACAAAUAUAAGGUGAUUCACGCUGCUGUCUGCAUCUAGACUGUAUGCAUCAACUGACUAAUCAAUAAGAUAGGAAAUGCAUGUAUCAGUACAACACUUAGAAUAUGAAAAUUACUGUAUAAUUUUUCUCAUUGUCUCUUGUAAACCUAUUGUUACAUAUGAUUUUUGGUAUGAUGAAUCUUUAAUUUGAUGCUACACGAGUAAAGAAGAUGAAGAAAAUUUCAAAGAUAAGACGACUUUAUGAUUGUGUUUAACUUAUCAACAAGAAGAAUAAAGCAAAAUAAGGUUUGGGUUCUCCUUAGUCUUAGCCUUAGUACAUAAGAAAGGAAAAACUCGGGUUUUAAUUUUAACAAUCCAGGCCAGGCCAUGGUUGUAUCCAGAGUUUUUAUAUUUUCAUCAUUUUAAUUUAACUUUGUUCAAUUAAACCCAUUUCUAUUUUUGUUGUAUUAACAAAUUGUUAAGAUAAACAAGCUUUACAUCAUCAAUUAUUUACAUGUCAACCGGUCAACCAAAAACAAAGAAAACAUGUUUAACAAAAAAAAAAUAAUAAUAAAAGAAAACAAACAAAGAAAAGGAAAACGUGAACGGUGUUCGGCCAAAAAAAAAAAAAAAGAAACAAACAAAGAAAGCCAACCAAGUUAUCAAGGCCAUGGAGGAUAGAAAACUUGAAAACGAUUAUAAUAACUAACAAUCCACGCCAUGGUUGUAUCCAAGGUUUUUAUAUUUUCACCAUUUUAAUUUUGUUUAAUUAAACUCAUUUCAACUUUUACUGUAUUAACAAAUCGUUAAGAUAAACAAGCUCUACAUCAUCAAUUGUUUACAUGUCAGCUGAUCAACAAUUCUUUUGAUCCGUUUUGACUCUCUUUAACAAAACAAAUAUUUAAGUAUUACUAUAAGCAAGCUUUAAUUGCCUGAAUUAUAGCUUAACUACAUGAACAAGCUAUAGAAAGGAAUCCAUUCACCAUUAAUAAUCUUACCAAACACGUCAACUACUUUCUCAUCAAUAUCCAUUGCUUUAAGUUGUUCGUACAUCAACUACUUUCUCAUCAAUAUCCAUUGCUUUUAAUUGUUCGUUCUCACAUGAAAAAAAAAACAAAACGUGUUUGGGUAAAAAAAAAAAAGAAACAAACAAAGAAAACGAGAAUGGUGUUUGGCCAAUUAAAAAAACAAAUAAUGAAAACGUGAAUAUUGUUUAGAAAAAAUAAACCGAAAAACAAAAUACAAAGAAAGUCAAUCAAGUCAUCAAGGCCACGAAAGAUAGAAAACUUGGAAAGGAUUGUAAUCAAUAACAAUCAUAUUUCCACGAAGGAUAGAAAACUUGGAAAUGUAUAUUCUAACAAGGGUAUGUUGUCUAUUUUAAUAAAAAGUUCUCAUAAAGUAAUGGAGCUUUUGGCUUUAAUGGUCCUAUCUUCUAUUUCUAAACAUCUGUGUGAUUUAGUGUCUUGAAAUGGUCAUAUCUUUUAACUUAUAAGUUUGAUAUGCAUUCUUUUUUUCCAAGGAAAGAUCCUAUUAAUAGGUUGUGGUGGUAUUAGCAGGUAAAGUCAGGAUACUGAAUGAUCAUUACCUUCAUCUUAUUAUAUAGAUGAUGUCACUAUUAUCAUAAUCGUCAUCACCAUUGCUGCUAUUGUUAUUAUUUUCAUCUCCACCAUUAAUUUGAUUUAUGCAUUCAAUAUAGUGGUGAGGAUGCAUGCAAUAAAAUAAGGGCUGGAGUAACUCUUGUUCAGCUUUAUACUGCAUUUGCAUAUGGAGGCCCUGCCUUAAUUCCUCAAAUGAAGGUAUUCUCCUUUAAUUUUAUGAGUUCUAUAUUUAUUUAUUUUCUUUCUCCUUUACAUCCUAAAGGGUAUAAAACAUUAUACACUGACAAAAAAUGUGUCGUCUUCUCUGAUGGCAUAUCUGUCACCAGUUUGUUAUUUGGAACUGCAACUUUUUUGGGACUUGGUGAAAUAUCAUAAUCUUGUAAAUGCUCAUGUCUUUAUCCUAGUUCAGGUUUCAUCAGUGUCAUUUUAAGAAAGAAGUUAAGGAUAUUUCUUGAGUCCUGGAUUUUGCAUUCAAUUUGUAUGCUUUUGGGGUAUCUUUCGACUUUUGGAGGGCUGAUGUUGGGUUGGGAUCAUUAAGUUGUCGGGAAUGGCCAAUUGCUCAAAUGGAUGAAUUAUUGUUUUUGUUAAAUAUUUUGUUUGGCUUAUUGUGAUUGUGCUGUUUUUGCAGGCUGAACUUGCUGAGUGCCUAGAGAGGGAUGGUUUCAAGUCUGUCCAUGAAGCUGUUGGUGCUGAUUGCAUAUGGUAUUAGUACUUACCUUGCACCAAGAACUUCCUCACAAAAUAGCUGUAUUGUAAUCUUUUGUCCUGUGCUUAUCCUACAUUAUCACUUUUGCUUGGCUCUAAUUUUUUUUAGAGGAAAUUGUGGGAAAUGACCUUCAUAGUAAGGUCACUUCAAAAAUGAUUGUCUCUAUAAUUUUAACUAUUUCUAGCCAUUUUUUGGCAUGACUUAACAAGAAUACCUUUUAAUCCAAUUAAUCCAAAUGAAAGCGCGUCUCAGUUUCUUUUUUUCUGCUCUCCCGUCAUUCAGCUUAAAAUUUCAAAAUUAAAUCUCGAUUUAGAUUUAGCUAUCCCUCCGUCCAGCUCUCCAAAGCCAUCGAGGUCUAUAUCGACAACCAACUUUCUCAUGAUCCUAAAGUGCAGAGAUGACAUCAAGGUAUUUGUUAUGGGUUCUUGCAUUUAUUUAGGGUUAUUCAUAGAAGGAAAAAGUUGAUGGAUAAAUUAUAUGAGUUUGGAAACUUAAAUCUGGGUGGGGGUAGCAAAAUCAAUCAGUUUAUAGGCGAUGCGUGAAUAUUUGUUAGGCAUUGAGUCAUUGGAUAUUAGGGUGUGUGACUGGAUUUUAGGAAUCGUUACCUAUUUAUUUGGCAUUAGGUGCUUGAAUAUUUGUUGAGCAUUGCGUGGGUUCUUUAUAGGCAUUACGUGACUGAAUAUUUGUUAGAGGUGCGUGACAAGCGUUACGUGACUGAAUAUUUGUUGAGCAUUGCGUGACCUAUUUGUAGGCAUUGCGUGACUUUAGCUACUUAAUGCUGAAGGUGAUUCUCUACUGAUUAUCUUCAAUAACCUAAUAAGCUCUAAUGUAAUUAAUGAAGUUUAUAUUUAAUUUCAGACUUGUAUAGUAGCAAUAGUAUUAGAUUUUGGUUGGUCUACCAUAAUGCCUAAAUUAAAAAAAAAAAAGAGAAAAGAGGAAACGAUAACGAAUUUCUUGGAAAAGAGAAAAGAUAUAACAUUAAAAUCCUUUUUCAUUAGUGAAAAAGAGAGAAAAUCUUUAAGCUGCUUUUUAUUAAGAAUUUCUUGAAAAAUGAUGUUUGGCCUAGCUUUCACUUUUAAGAGGUAGCUAAGAUGAAAGGGCAGGCUAAACAGGUACUUAAUAACCAAUUCAGCCCCCCUUCAUUGCAUUGAUAUGGCUGUAGAAAACGAAGAGUCAGCUUUCAUACCUAUAAAUAAAGGGAACCAUUAACCAUUUGAAUCAAAUUCAAUUAUCUUAAUCAAUCUCAGAUAAUUGAAAAAUGACCUCCAAAGAUCUAAGAGUCGAGAAGGGGAAAGAGGCAACCUCUAAAGAGGAGGAGGUGCCUUUGAGUGUGAGGGACCAGUUGCACAUAUUCUUGAGUGUGAGGGACUAGUUGCACAUAUUCUAGCAGGAGAUGCAAGUUCUCAUCGACAACCUGAUGCAAAGGACUUUUGACCUAGAAGUUGCCAUCUUGAGCAACGAAAAGAUUCUUGUCGAGAUAGAGUUCAAAGUAGAUGAACUUAUGAAGAAAUGAACUACGGUUCAUUUUUUUUGUAUCAUUUUCUUGUAUUUUCGGAGGGGUCUUUUUAAUAAAAUUUGAAUAAAAUUUAUAGCAAUUUUUAUUUUCAUUGAGCACAUAUUUUGUUGAGUUAUUUUCUUCGUUUAAGUUAUAUUAUACUGAAAAACUUCGUGAGUGGAUGUUAGGCAUUGGGUGACCUAUUAUUAGGUAUUAGGAGAGUGGGUUAUACGCGGUGCGUGAAUUGUGCAAUACAUAUCUUCUAUUGAGACAUUGCAUGAGUAGUUUGUAUGUAUAUGGAAUAGAGUACCUAUGGUGACAUGUUGUUAUGUAUUGCGUGACGUUGGGCCAGUACGUGAUUGUUUAAGUUAGCAUAACGUGAGUGGAUAUUAGGCAUCGAUUGAAUUAUUAUUAGGUAUUGCGAGACUAGUGGUGCGCAAUUCACCUCUUGUUUAGAGGCUUAUUAUUCAUUGAGUGACUUAUUCUUAGUUGUGGCGAGCCUGACGGUGUGUGACUGACUUGUGCAAUUCAUGUGUUGUUUUGAAGUUUUUGUUCAAUAGUUUUUUAGGCAGUGCGUGACUGGUUUUUAUAUAUUGCGUUACCUGUUGUAGCGAGAGUGGUGGCACGUGACUUGUGCAAUUCAUAUGUUGUUUUGAGGGUUUUGUUCAGUAGUUUUUUAGGCUUGCGUGACUGGUUUUUAUAUAUUGCGUUACCUAUUGUAGCGAAAGUGGUGGCUUGUGACUUGUGCAAUUCAUGUAUUGUUUUGAUGCUUUUGUUCAGUAGUUUUUUAGGCUUGCGUGACUGGUUUUUAUAUAUUGCGUUACCUGUUGUAGCGUGAGUGGUGGCACGUGACUUGUGCAAUUCAUGUGUUGUUUAAAGGCUUUUGUUCAGUAGUUUUUUAGGGUUGUGAGAUUGUUUUUUAUAUAUUGUGUGACCUGUUGUUAUGUAUUACGAGAGUGGUGGCACGUGACUUGUGUAAUUCAUAUGUUGUUUUGAGGUUUUUGUUCAGUAGUUUUUUAGGAUUGCGUUACUGGUUUUUAUAUAUUAUGUGACUUGUUGUUAUAUAUUGCGAGAGCGAUGGUGCAUGACUUGUGCAAUUCGCCUCUUGUUUAAGGGCAUUUGUUCACUAGUUAUUAGGCAUUGCAUUAAUAUGUAUUAGACAUUGCGACACUUAAUUUCUGUAAAAUUUUUGCGGUUGGCCAAAUGUGACUUAGGCAUUGCAUAAGUAGUUUCUAUGCAUUGAGGGGCUAUUUUUGAUAAAUUGACUGAUCGUGAUACUUAUUUUCUAUUAAAUUUCAGCGACCUGCCAAAUGUGAAGCUUAUGAUUACAUACGGUGGUCAUUGGGUCGAUGACACUUACAAGGGUGGUGAGACACGAGUGAGGGGUGUUGGGAGUGAUUUGUCAUUUUCGAGACUAGUGAAGCUGGUUAAAGAGGUUGUUGGGUCAACUCACAUAAUAAUGAAAUCGAGCUACAUACAUCGUUCAGCCAUGCCUCAGGGGUUUCGUGCGCAGUUAUCAGGGAUGAUGAAGAUGUAGCGAGUAUUUUGUGAGAUGAAAGGACAGUUGUUGUGUUUGUGACAAUUAAGGCAGGAAAUGCAAACAAUAUUUCACAUGAGCAUGGUAUCCAGCAUAGUAAUCAACAAGAACAUAAUGUUAAUUAUUUUGACAUACCACACCAUGCAUUUCCUAACAAACAACCAUGGCAAUCACGUUUAAUGUAUCCUCAUGAAUUUCAGCAGCCCGACGCACACAUGAGGUGUCUGCAAAUGAUGUCUGCACAAUUUCGACCGGAAUGUGCAUAGAACGAAAUACUCGGUACUUUGUAACAAACACAACUAUCGCUCGAAAAUGCAUUGGGUCCAUUGUCAUUAGCAAACGACACUGUGAUGGUUGUGAGUGAUGACGAUGCAUCGAUCAGAUUGAAGAUGAUGUUGAAGAGGACGACACGACGGAUCGGAACAAUGAGUUGUGUUAUGACUGUGAAGAUGAUUUUGUUUGCAAACAUAAAGACCGUUCAGAGGACAACAGGGUUGAGCAGACCGACAUUCCUGAUUGCAAUCAUGCAGAUGGCGGUACAGGUCAUACCAUAACUGUUGUGUUAGAAGAGGUUGAGUUGGACGACCAUGGUAGAACCGUUGAAUUAGAAGAUGUUGAGGGUGCGGACCCUAUUUACGAUAACACCAUCGCACUUGAGAACGACAUUUGUUCGCCUGAUGACAGUGAUCAAGAGAGGGUAAAUACAAGGGGAUCUCGUUAAUGGAUUAUUCUCGGGCUAGAUAUGAUAUCUUUCCAAACAGUUGGGAGUGAGGAAUCCAAAUCAAUGGACGAUUACUUAUAUCGCGAAAAAGUGUUUUUAUCGAAGGCUGAAUUGAAACGAACUUUGAGCAUGUUGGCACUAAAAGAGCAUUUUGAGUUUAGAGUUAAAAAGUCAUGUCACGUUCAUUUUGAGGUUGGUUGUAAAGAUAAGACAUGCAAGUUUGCUUUGCAAGCAACGAAGUUGCCUGAGGGAGAAUAUUGACAACUUCCAACAUUGCAGAAGGUACACACGUGUACUGUCGAUGGUUUGCACUGUAGGUACCGAACUGCGAGCGCGAGGGUAAUUGGUGAGCUUAUCUCCAGCAGGGUGCAAGGAAAUUGUGUAACCUCAUUGAGACUAAAGGAAAUAAUAGAAGAGAUGAAUCGCAAGUGGGGAUUGCAAUGCCUAUAUGGUAAGGCCUGGCAAGUGAAGGAGUACGCAGAGAGUCUUAUGUUCAGUCUGCAGGAAGAGUCAUUCCAACUAUUUCCCUCCUAUUUUCAUAUGUUGGAAUGUGAAAAUCCAGGUACUAUCAUGUUUGUCGCUACUGAUGGGGAACAAUGAUUCAAAUAUUGUUUCUGGGCAUUUGAGUCAUGUAUUCGAGGGUUCAGUGCUGUAAUGCGGCUUGUAGUCACUAUCGAUGCCACACAUUUGAAAGGCAGAUUCAAGGGUAUUCUGUUUGUGGCGAUAUGCAAAUAUGCGAAUGAGCAGAUAUAUCCACUUGCAUUUGGCAUUGGCCAUGUCGAAGACGAAGAGUCUUGAUCGUGGUUUCUUAACCAAUAGCGUCGUGCAAUUGGUUGUCUGAAAAUUCAAUGUUCAUUUCUGAUCAGCAUCUUGGCAUUAAGAAUGCAGUUGAGAAAAUGUACAAGGACGUUCAUCACUGUCUAUGCAAUUACCACUUAGAGUAAAACGUUAAAACAGGUUCAAGCGCGAAGAUGUUGUAGCGAUUUUCACCAUGGCCGCCAACUGUUAUAGGGUCACCGAUUUUGACAAACAUAUGAAUCAGCUGAAACAGCUUUGCAAACUUGCUUAUGAAAGCCUUAUGAGAUUAGGCCCUGAGAUGGGCGCGUGCACGGUCACCAGUAAGGCGAUACAAGCUAAUGACAUCCAACACUGCGGAGUGUAUUAACUCUUACCUAAGGCAUACAAGAAAAAUGCUAAUAACGGUGUUGAUCGAGUACAUCAGAGGCAUGUUUCAACGUUAGUUCUAUGACUGGCACAAUAAGGCAUUGAAUUUGACCACACCCCUUAGCCCUCGGGCUACCGAUCUUUUGAACAGACAAUUCAAUGAAGUAUGUCACUUUUCCAUACAAGCAAUCGAUCGGGUGGAGUUUCAAGUUAUAGGCGGGAGUAAAGACAGAGUCGUGAACCUCUCCACCAAGUAGUGUUCAUGCGGUGAGUUCCAAUCCGAUCUACUCCCCUGCACGCAUGCCAUGGUGGCAAUAAGGUAUGAGUAAUCAUGUUUUGUUAUAUUGUGCAUGAUGAAUUGAAUUUUUACAUUGUUCACCAACUGUGAUUUCAUUAUCUUGGCAGUAAGUGCAAACGUGCAGCUAUUGAAUUAUGCUCGGACUAUUACAAGACUUGAUCUUGGGCAGAGGGAUAUGCAGUUCCCAUUCGCCCGAUUUGGCAUCUUAGUGAGUGGGACAUCCCCGAUGACGUUCAACAAAUUAUCGUUUUGCCACCAAGUUGGCAAGGUCAAGCGGGAAGACCUAAGAGGAAAAGGAAUCCAUCAGUUGGGGAAGGCAGCGGACAACGUAGAUGUUCACAAUGCAAGAGCUAUGGUCAUAAUAGAAAAAAUUAUCAGACUUUGUUUGCAUCUCAAUCGACAAAAAGGGAAACAUCAUUUGCUCAGUCAACGGCUCGACGACAUCGACCCAAGGCAUGUGCAAUUUACAAACAACCCGAGCACACGCGAAAUCGCUAUCCAAUGCGGACUACAAACUCUAAUAACGUUAUAGGUGUCGUACCUGAAGAUAGUGGCCCUUCAAACGUCAGUUAUUAGGGAUUGUUUCGAAGUGGCCAUUGAUAUUUGCAUUGAAUAAUACUAUUUCAACUUAAGUUUGACAAAGUUUGAAUGAAAAGUAAGAUACACAAUAUGUCCAUAUGGAAGAGAAAGACCUUAUGCUAGUUAUGGAGGUUUGAAAAAGUGUACCAAAGCAUGAGAAUUGAAGUUACUUUGAGAAAGUUAUUGAUGUUUCAAGGGAUGGCUUCCAUGCAAUAUGGAAAACGUUUAUUGAGGAAGAAGGAAAGGAAGAAGAAGAAGAAGAAGUUGCUAGAAGUGAGGAGAAAGUGCUGAAAAAAAAAUAGAUAUUAAUCUUGUAAUUGACUACAGUUUUCAUUAUUUACGAAAAUGCCAUUGCAUAGUUGGAUCAUCAAAUUCCAAUUACAGUACUUAGCCCAUUUGUCGAAUCAUCAAAGUCAGAUUAACGAAUACAAGAAGAAGAUAAAAAAAAAAGAAAGAAAAAGAAGAAUGGGAGAUUUCAACCCAUAAUUUAAGAUGAUGAAAAAGUAGAGCUAGAAGAAGGAAGAGCAACUUUAGCAAAAUGGAAAAGAAGCAGCAGACCCUCAACCCCAAAAACGAUGCUUUGCUUCGAAUUGUGAGUAAUUUUUUUAAAAUAUGAUGGGUAAAAAUGUCCUUAAAGACAUUGCAGAGUGUAAUGUAAUGUGAUUGCAUUGGUUUUGGACUGCAAUCACAUUACAUCCAUUGGCUGCAAUGUGAUUACAUUACAAUUUUCCAUUGCAGUGGUCUGUUACAAAACAAACACUGUAAUAUAAUUUAAUUAGGCACAUUGCAGGGAAUGUGACUUUACAUCCCUUAUACCAAACGCACCCUUAAUGUCGACUAUUGUAAUCAGAAAACAUAAAGGGCAUAAGAUAACUUCCAACUGUUUUUUUCAUAUUCCAGUCUUCCCAAUAUCUAUUGAUAGCUGCCUUUUCAUCUUCCAACCGUUCCAAACUUAGUUUAACGAUAAAAGGAAGUUGAACCACUAAAGCUGAACCAUCCUACACUAUCUUAAGCAAUGGCCGCAUCUUCGAGCAGACCCAAUGUCCAUGACAAUGGCGACCAAAGUAUGGGUGAUGAUGAAUACUCUAGCCUACAAUCAAGGAAGAAAUGGAAACUAGAUCUUUAACUGCCUGUCGCACCAAUUGGUUUUUCAAUUGAACCAAGUAAUGAUCCAUGCUCUCCCUUACGGUUUAGAAACAUCUCACAUGGUGGUAGGUAUUGGGUAAUAGAGAAUGCCAUGAUAUUGUAAGGGAAAGUGGUAGAUUAGGAAAGCUUAAAGGAAAACAUAUACCUUGAGGGUGACAUAUCUUCGUUUUUCGACAUGGGUAAACUUGAGGGUCUAAAUACCUUUUCAUAUUUUGAUUAUAGCUCGACUCUUGUUAGGGAAUUUUACUCCAGCAUUCACCGGAGUGAAAAUGAAUUUGAAAAUCCUAGAGAUUUUGACCUAUUUGUUUUGAACGUGUUUUUGGGAGGAAUAGAGUUUACAGUGACUCCCUUUGAUAUUAGGAAGCUUUUGAAAACGGAUAUAUAGACAUGGACAAUACAGACCUCCACCAUCAUAUGACACGUCUCGUAUGUGGGCCCAAGUGACAGGCAGAAGAGAACCAUACACCACAGAGUCAUAUUCUGUUCGUCAUUUGAAUUCUGUACUAGAUAGGUUGGUACAUAAUUUUUUGGCAUCCACAUUACAGGGAAGGAUCAGUCAUUUAAGACAUGUUAGCGCUAAGGAUUUGUGGAUGAUGGAAAAAAUUAAAAGGCAGUUUGGCAUGAAUAUUGCAAAAUAUAUGAUCAUGAGAAUAAGACAAGUUGCCAUACGGGAAGAGACGACCCUUCCAUACGAGAACAUCAUAUCGGCUCUAGUUAAGAAAAAAUGGAUAUGGAGCAAUAAGUAUCUAGCUGAUUGGACCAGUCACAGGCCUUAUAAUCUCUCGUUUCCAUGGCUUGUGAAAAGGGGAUAUGACUUUAGUCUUGAUGAGCCAUUAAACUUUGUCGAAGGUAACCCAGUUCAUCCUGCCUAUGAUACUCCAUUCAAACAACUGUCUAGAGUUCUUGUUUCCAAUGAUGUGAUGUAUAAUAUGCUUAUGAGGAUUGAUGAGAAACUCAGUAAUCAAAUUGCUAGAAUACAGGCAUUAGAAUUGAGGAUACAGAAUGUUGAGAAUCUUCUAAUACAAAGAAUAGAUACAGUUGUUCGGGCAGUAAAAGUGAGGUAGAAUUGACUGUCCUCAAAUGAGUUUCUCCGACAUUAACCUCAGAGAAAAAAGAAGUCAGUUGUCAUUGGUUCUGGCUGAGUCAACCAUACUAGAUGAACAUUCAUAUUUGAGAGUUGUGGGUUAACUGGAUUAUGGAUACUGUAGUUUGUAUUACAUAAUUCACUUAUGGUAUUUUGUUUUCUUUAACUCGAUAUUUUGUUAUGAUGGUGCUUGGGGUUGAGUUAUGGUUUGAUAUUGUUCGUGGUAAUUGGCUUACCCUUAUUCGAAGAACAUGACAUAAAAUAGGUGAGUCACGCAAUGCAAGAUCAACUAGUCACGCAAUGCAAGAUCAACUAGUCAUGCGAUCCCAUAUCAUCGAGUCACGCAAUUCAAUAAGAAUUCGUAACACCACUCCAUAUAUACUACUCACGCGGCUUCAUAUCAACUAGUAAUGUAAUUCCAUAAUAUCCAAUCACGCGACUCUAUUUUUCUACUCACGUGAUUUUAUAAUAAAUACUCACACCAUUCCAUAAUAACUAGUAACACCACUCAAUAUAUAUUACUCAUGCGAGUCAAUAUCAACUAGUCACGCGAUUCUACAAAAAAGUCAUGUCACGCGCUUCCAUAUUAACUAGUAACGUCAUUCCAUAUUUACUACUAACGGGAGUCAAUAUCAAAUACUCAUGCGAUUCUAAAUCUUAACAGUUCACGCGAACCAUAUUUACUACUCACACGAUUCUAAAUGGAUUAGUGACGCGAUUCCAUAUUAACAACUAACGUGAUUCAAAAUUUAGUACUCGCGUGACUCCAUAACAAAUACUCCUGUGAAUCAAUAUCAACUGGUGACGCGAUUCCAUCCAUACCAUUCACGCCAUUCAAUAGCAACUUCUUACAACCCUAUGUCACGUAAUGCAAUUCAACAUGUCAUAUAGGCUAUAAAGUAAAGAAGCAAAGGGGGGUUAGCAUAUGCAAACGAAUGAUGUUUGGCCUAGCUUUUGCUUUUAAGAGGUAGAUAAGAUGAAAGGGAUGGUCGAACUAGUACUUAAUAACCAAUUCAGCCCCCCUUCAUUGCAUUGAUAUGGGUGUAGAAAACGAAAAGUCAGCAUUCAUGCCUAUAAAUAAAAGGAACCAUUAACCAUUUGAAUCAAAUUCAAUCAUCUUAAUCAAUAUCAGAUAAUUGAAAAAUGACCUCUAGAGAUUCAAGAGUCGAGAAGGGGAAAAAGGCAGCCUCUGAAGAUGAUGAGGUGCCUUUGAGUUUGAGGGACUAGUUGCACAUAUUCUAGCAAAAAAGCAAAUCUAAAACACAAAAUGUCUCUCUAAAAGUGGAUGGAACUUGUAUGAAAGAGUAAACUGAACUGUCUGGUUGAGAAAUGAAAAGUAAGAUACACAAGAUAUCCAUAUGGAAGAGAAAACCUUCAAGUCCAAUGGUCGGGUCGUUGGAACUAGUUGGCAAACAAUAGAGGUCGAAAACAACUGAACAUGGGACUUGAGGGUUUUCUCUUCCAUAUGGACAUCUUGUGUAUCUUACUUUUCAUUCCCAACCAGACAGUUUAGUUUGCUUUUUCAUACAAGUUCCAUCCACUUUCAAAGCAACUAUUGAUACAUUCAUAAGCUAUCGAUACUCAUGCAGGUCCAGAACAACUGAAUGUUUAUUGAAACAGAAGGAUGGGAAGAAGACGAAGAAGAAGCUGUCGGAAGUGAGGAGAAAGUGCUGGGAAAAAUUUGAUAUUUAUCUUAUAGUUGACUACAGGUCCCUUUAUGUACAAAAAUGCCAUUGCGUAGUUGGAUCAUAAAAUUCCAAUUAGAGUACUUAGCCCAUUUGUUGGAUCAUCAAAUUCAUUGUACUCUUUCAUAAUUUGUUUUUCUUUGUAAACCAUUAAAUAAAGCACAAAAUAUUUAAUAAUAUUUACGUGAUUGAUUUUGGCAUCCUGCUUCAUAUUUUUGCCUAGAAAAUGGUGUAUAAUAGUAGUAAUAGUUAUUCUUAAUAUUGAUCGUUGUAAUCAAAAAACAUAAAGGGUAUAAGACAGCUUCCAAUCGUUUCUUUCAUAUUGUAGUUUUCCCGUUGAGUUAUGGUUUGAUAUUGUCGAUGAUAAUUGGCUUACCCUUAUUUGAAGAACAUGACACAAAAUAGGUGAGUCACGCGAUGCAAGCGCAACUAGUCACGCAAUCCCAUAUCAUCUAGUCACGCAAUUCAAUAAGAAUUCGUAACGUCACUCCAUAUAUACUACUCACGCGAAUCGAUAUCAACUAGUAACGCAAUUCCAUAAUAGCCAGUCAUGCAAAUCAAUUUUUCUACUCACGCGAUUUUAUAAUAAAUAUUCACGCCAUUCCAUAAUAACUAGUAACGCAACCCACAUAUAUUACUCACGUAAGUCAAUAUAAACUAGUGACGCGAUUCCACAAAAAAGUCAUGUCACGCGCUUUCAUAUUAACUAGUAACGACACUCCAUAUUUAUUACUAACCAAAGUAAAUAUCAAACACUCACGCGAUUUUAAAUCUUAACAGUUCACGUGAUCCAUAUUUACUACUCACACGAUUCCAAGUAGAUUAGUGACGUGAUUCCAUACUAACAACUGACGUGAUUCAAAAUUUAGUACUCGCGUGACUCCAUAACAAAUACUCUCACGAAUCAAUAUCAACUGGUGACGCGAUUCCAUCCACACCAUUCACGCAAUUCAAUAGCAACUGCUUACAACCCUAUGUCACGCAAUGCAAUUCAACAUGUCAUAUAGGCUAUAAAGUAAAUAAGCAAAAGGGGGCUGGCAUAUGCAAACGAAUGAACGCUGUCAUGUAAAUUGUGUAAAAUACUAACAGACUUUAUGAUAUGAAUAAGAAAAAAAUAAUGUUGUUCUUAUUGGACCCGUAUGCGUAUCACAUGAAUGAAUACAAAGAAUAAUAUGUAAAUGAUACAACAAAGAAUAAUAUGAAAAUGAUAUAGAAUAAUGUUAAUGUUAAUUACAAAAUGAAAAAGAAUAAACAAAUUCAAAAAUUUAACAACUUGAGCUAUUGGCAAAAAUCUCAAGGGCAAACUUUGUUCGAAUGCCCUCUAUGGCGUUUGCCUUCAGUGUCUGAUCCUCCGAGCCGAUCAACCACUGCAACGAGGCUAUAACCCAAUCCCCAUAACUGUGUGAAUUUUGCUGUAUCGGGGUCUUCUCAUUUAACCUGUAUUUCAUCCGCGUCAAACCUCAUUUUUGACGACCUGAGCUGACAAAGUACCCUGCCCGGUGGCAUAUAAUGGGAAACAAUGAUGUUAGUGGACUCAUCUGCUUAUCACGCAAGCCAAAAUUCAGUGCUUCUUUUUGACCGUACGAUGAGUCCACUAACAUCAUAGUCCAUUUCAGAAAGUUAACGUGCACUACCACCUAGUGGCCGUUGAAAAAGCACGGUACGAGAAUUGCGUCAACCUCAUGAUAUGGCAAACCCCACGAAGGUCUCCCACCCCUUGCAUACUCAAGCAGAUCGUCUGGCAUAACCACCUCACUCGGCUUGAAUGUCUUCUCGGUGGGGGAAGGCUGCAUUUUUUCACUUAGUUGGAGCAAAAUAAGUUGUCAAUUACGCUAUGCAUAAUAGUUAGAUGCAAUUAAGUAACCCUAAAUCUCAUACAUUUGAAUAAUUAUAACUCAGUUAAAUAUAAUAUACUUACAUAGAAUGUGGUGUCAACGAUCAAUAUUCUUUGCUUGUAGUGUUGUGGAUGGUGCUCGCACACCCACUUACACAACACACUAAUGCAUGCAUCAAUUUGUUGGGUGUCCAUCAACUCUGUCGGCAUCUCUAAUCGUCGAAAAAAAUCAGGGCCCUCUUACCCUUCGAUGCCCAGAAUGUUAACCCUGCAAAUUUAAAAUAGAGUUAUAUUAAAAUUAUAGUAUUGCAGACUGUUUAAUAAAUAUCCUAGAAUCGUUAACCCUAAUAUAGUCUACUGUUUUCAUUUUACCUGGCUUGGUCAUUUUUCAGGAAUGACUCAUAUCUGUCUUUCAAAUUGUCAUUCGCUUUGCGCUGGACUAAUAGCGGGUUAACGUACUGGCUUCGAAGGCAUUUGCUAGCCAAGAUCACAUGUGCAUCUUCGAGCUCAGGUCGAGGUGGAGCCUCAGCAGAAGGUUCGAUCUCACCAUAAGGGGGGGCCUCUGCUAGAGUUGGGACAGGAGCAGGACGUGGGGAAGUUGUAGUUCCACUACUCGCAAGAUGAGGUACCUCUUCGACCUCAUACGGAGAAGGUGGAGCCUAGGGAGAAGGUAUGGGCUUAAAAUGCUGGGCUGCCUCUACCGGAGAUGGAAUACCCGCAGGAUGAUGUUCAAUCGGGUUACCAGGAGGUGACCUUCGUCCCUAAACGAUUAAAAAAAACAAACACAUUAGAACAGUGUAUACAUUGUACAUGUUAUAACUCACGCGAUGAAUAACAUAAAACCUCAUACCUCAAAAUGGUCGAUCAGUCGACAGACAAUCCGAUCCUCCAGCCCUUGCAGUGAGUGCUAGAUAUGCUCAUGCAGUGACUACGUCUACAUUUGCAUCGCCCGCUAGAUCUCCAACUACAUUGACUGCAUCUGCAUCGCCCACUGGAUCUCCAACUGUAUUGACUACAUCUGCAUUUGCAUAUUCGUCUGUAAUGACUAAAGGUCUUUCUUCCACUGUGUCUGUAUCUUUUGCAGCUUUCGCUUAAUGUUCGUAGUCAUUUACGAGCGUAACGCCCGGUUAUGCGACUCAACAUGGGGGACAGCACCUGAAGCAAGAGGAGGGGUAGCAGCAGAAGCAGGAGGAGCAGCAGCAAGAGAAGCACCAUGAAUAGUUACAGGAAGAAAAUGAGGUGCCUCAGCAGCACCGAAAUCGGAAUGGACCUCUUCAUUCGUGAUGCGUCUCCGCUUAACGGCUCCUCGUACUAGACUUUUCUCAUUUGCGGUCCAUUAUUUUCCUCCUUUGUUGGGGACCUAAUUCUGGGCAACCCUCCAACUUCCAUAAUAAAAUGUAUUGCUGCCCUUCGGAGAUAUUGACCUCAAUGUCUACCCAGUUUGCGAUCAACAUCUCUUUUGCCGUUGGCUCUAACGUCUUCAUUGCCCACAACUACACCAAAACAUACAUUGCCAGUAGGUAUAACCCUCGCUACCUUAUGACAAUAAAAAUAAAAUUUAAUCAAAUAAAAAAAAUAUGGUUUCUUUACUCACCUUGCCCUCUCUCUCAAAACUUGUAAUAUUGACGUGGAACCUUGUAGGCCUCUUGUCACAAUGUCAUUUAAGCAUUCUUGGCCAAACCUAUCUGGACUACCGCUGCCUUCCGAACAAACUUCUAAUUACAGGUAUUGCUUCCAACGCCCAAAACUGCACAUCAAUUGUGUAACAUUUUUAGUCACCUCAUAAAUUCUUAUGCGAAAACAAUAAUGACAAUGAUAAACAUUAGGCUAUGGCAGACUACUUGAAAAGCCCAUAUCAAUCCGUAUAGGUGGUAGCGCUUCUUAUCUACUUUGCUUACAGUAGGAGGUUCGAAACCCCUCAGCAAGUAAUCCACGGUCAGACUCCAAACGUAUGUGCCCCAUGGGAAUGCAUUCCACUCGUCGAUGUUCUCAACUAGAGACAACAACCAUGGAACGAUAGAUCGUCUGUAGUCUUGACCGAAUAAAACGUUAGUCUCGAUCAAGACGAGGGCCAUCUUGCUCGCGUCUCCCUUUUGCUGAAACUGCCCUCCCUUGAACGUGUCUAAAACUUAUUGGAUCUUCACCUCCUUCCCAAGUCUCCAAUAUCGUAGGUAAAUUCCUCCAAAGAGGGCCUCGUAGGGAUUGACAAUGAAGGCCGAUAGAGGACCAAACUUUAGUCUUGUCACCAGACAGAACUCCCUCUUUGAAAAACAGGCCUUCAUUUUCCCUAUUGCGAACCAUAACUCUGCCUCUGUGGCGUCAGGUUCGUUGAUUCUGUGCAGCAUUAGAUUGUACACGAGACUGGCACAAAAUGAACUCUUGUUUGCUUCGACGUCCAUCAUGUGCCCGAAGCAUGUUCUCUUAAAGCUUUCCAGCUCAUUCACUUGACACAGCAUCUGACGUAUCACGUGCAGAUGCGACCACUUACAGUGGAUGUUAAUGCCUACAUUGAACCCCCACCGGUGCCUCGGCACAAGAGCAAGUACUCCGCGUUUUCCUACUCUGUUCCUGUGCUGGCCAUCUGCAACAUAAAACAGAUAACAUUCCCAUUUUAAUCAUGUCAAUACCAUCAUUGUAGAUUAACAAAAAAACUACAGGAAUUUCUUAGAAAUAGCCCUCCUCAUAAGCUCACUCAAAAAAUAACCCUAACAAUAUUUUUAACUGUUUUUAGACAACCCUGAAACAGAAUAAUUAAUCCAAGUGUGGAGCAUGGAUUAUUAAGUAAAUCAACAUAUACACAUUAAAACAUUACAGUUGACCCAAAAUAAUACAGAAUGAACCCAUGCAGAUAAAUUUCAUGCAGUUAUGACACUCGUGCAAUUUCCUACAACAAUAGUCACGCAAUGCCUAAUCAAUUAGUCACACAAUUACUAACAAUAAAUCACACAAUGAUUUAUAAACAAGUCACGCAAUUCUAAGAACAACUAAUCGAAUCACGCACACACAAACUGAUGCUAUGCCUGAACAAUAUUCGCGCAAUAACAUUGAAACCAGUCACGCAAUGGCCUAGAAACCAGUCACGCAAUGACUUAAAAACCAGUCACGCAAAGUUAAACCUUUUUGCAAUCACGCAAACCCUACGUGACCCCAUGCCAAAAUCCACUGACACAAAAGGUGCCAACCACAUAAGCACGCCCCCACUCAUGCAAUAUCUAACAAAGGGUCAUAACAAAGGGUCACCUUUCUACCCCAACAACACCAACAAUACCACCUUCAUGUUUAUAUUCAAAAAUUUCAAACAACAACAAUAUCAAUAUGAACAAGUAAUAUGUAUAGGUUUAUGCUCAAAAACCUUAACCCUAAACAUGAACAAUAACCGUCCUGUCAAAAACCUCCACAUGGUUCAAAAUGAAAUAAAAAAUUCAUAAAAAAAUUUUAUACCUUUCUCAGAGUUAUGUCAACUUCUUCACACUGCUCAAUAUGUGAACUACCUUUAUCAGAAUAAUAACCACUCCAAAAGGCUCCUACCACUGCCAAAAUGCUCAGAAGUUGAACUGUCAAGGAAUGCUUUUGACAGACUUGCUUCUGCGGAUAUGUAAGGUCUCUCGAUGAAAACCGAAGAGUUGUGGUCCAUAUAAAGGACAUACUUGACCCGUUAAUAGGUUUUUGGUUUAGGCGCGGAGCCUAGCGAAUGGGUCAGUUUCAUUAAGGACAAUUUUGUCUAAUUUUUUUUUCUCUUGGCUAAAAACAGAUAAAAUUAUACGGAGGACAAUUUUCAAAAACACCUUAUGCCUGAGGCCCAUUUAAGAAAAGUUUUUUUUUUCUUAUCAUUUUCCAUUAAUCUGCCUCCUUCUAUGAGUUUGAGAGGAUUUACACGUACAAUAUGAGAAAACAAUUUUGAUACAUUGUAGUCGCAUAAAAUAUCAAUUUCUGUGAAUUUUCAGGGCAAACAUACCUUGCUUCAAUAAAAUUGUUGUUUGGUAUAAAAAAACAGCAAAAAGUAUAUAAUCAAUAGAAAAAAAGGCAAAAAUUAAACAAAAAAAACUCUUGAAAUUUUUAUUUCUCAGUCCUUUGAUGGUAACAGUAUCCAGGGACGACGCCAUUAUAAACAAUAUUUUCUACUUAUUGAUGGUAACAAUACUAUAUCUACUAAAGUAACACUGCUGUUUAUCAGGAAAAGAUAAACUCUACUUUUUCAAAGCAACAUCUGGGGCAAGGAAGUAGAGUGCCUAAGUUAAACAAGAAAAACUUCGACCCUGGGAGCUAGCUGGCAAUGAAGCAUCAAAGAUGACGAGAAAAUCUACUGAGAUGACGCAAACAAGCCAAAAGCUGGAUUGAUAGUGGUAAAACCUCCGUCCACUGCAAGAUUGUGCCCACUCACAUACUUGGACUCGUCAGAACCCAGGUACAGUGCAGCCUCAGCCACAUCUACUUGUUGAAGAACGACCCCUUUCAGGUUAGAAUAAACACGA
RNAcentral lists this long non-coding RNA (48682 nucleotides) under Theobroma cacao (cacao). RNAcentral describes it as "long non-coding RNA (TCAC_LNC000798)". The record is from RNAcentral. Lineage: Eukaryota; Viridiplantae; Streptophyta; Magnoliopsida; Malvales; Malvaceae.